AACUUUUCAGAAUUAUUUCUUCAAUAUUUGGUGACAUAGAAAGGUCUGGUAUUCUAGUAAGUUUCCGAGAAUAACUCAGGUCGAGCCUUUUCAAGUUGGGUAAAUUCUGCCACAAAUAGGAAAUGAAUGAGGUAACAAAUAAAAACUACUUUAUCUAUUUUUCUUCGGUAAAAUAUUAGCUACAUCAUCUAAUCUAUUCACUUUAUAUUUUACAUUACUUCAAAACCACUGUUAAAAAAAAUCACACUGUCAACUAACAAAACUGUGGCUAUAAAUUUAAUAGUUAUUAUAAAAAACCACAAAAUUUAACGUGUUUUUGUUCCCUACCUCAAAUUACAUCCUAAUAAUUUGAACCUAAACUUAUUAUGUAUUUAAAAACUGAUGAUAGUAAUUUAUAAUCGAUGACAGUGUGGAAAUACUUUAUAUCAUGCAUGUAUCAACUGACAAAAUAAAAUGGUGUUGUCUGAUGAUAGUAAUUUAUAAUCGAUGACCAUCUUUCCAUAAUUUAUUUUAUUAAAUACAUAAUUUGUUGUAUAUUAUAUUGAAGUUUAUGUUAUAAUAAUAAAAAAAUACUUAAUUAGGUUUUGAGUAUCCAGUAAGACAUUUUUAAUUAAUUUUUUUAUUAAAUUUUUUAAUUAUUUAAGUACUCAAAUUUUUUAUAUUUCCAAUAGAAUAUAUGUCAUUUUUAAUUUUUGAGUUAAUUGGGUGAUACAGAAAUUAUCUUGUCACAUGAUCUUACUUACUUGUCUUUAUGUAUUAAGGAAUAUGAAGUUUUAUGAUUGGCCAUUAGACUAUAUACCUAAAAAGAGGAUGCAAACUCUUCUACAUGCUACUAAAUUUAUAACUAUCUUUAAUUAGAAACAUGCUGAGUAUGAUUCUUAUGAUAUAUGUAUAACUGUGUGGUUCAAAUAAAAGAAAUUUCAAAUCGAAUAAUGUGGAGAAGCACAAAGGAAUUGCAAAUGAAAACCAGUAGAUGUAUAAUACAGAAAACAUGCUUGUAUAACUUAUUUUUGUCUUUGAAAGUUUAGAACACAAAGAAACAUAGAUAGCUUGAAAAACCUGAUCUCCUUCCCAGAGUUGUUCAAGAUGGCAGUAUGGCAUUUCGAGGGUCACUAGAUUUUGCGGGCAAAAGUUUGGAGGCAAAGAUCUUUGAGGGAAAUGUUUCCAAUAAAGAAUCUUUAGAGUGUCUGGCAGACCUACAAUAGAUGAUUCAAGAGACACAUUUGACGUGUAUUUUGGCGUGUUGAGCAUAAGCAUCCUAAGAUUGUCCAUCUUUUCGAAACUUUGUGCAUGUACUACAACUUCAUUUACUUUGCUCGUAUCUAGUGAUAUACACUGUAUUGCAUCUAACCCCUGAAAGUAAAUCAAUGUAAUUAGAAAAAAAAAGCAUGAAAUGUUGCUGUAUGGUUAUGGGCAGAUUGAUGAGAUAUGGUAACCUUCGGAUACUGAUCAUGAAGUGACAUAAAGGAGAAGGAAGCGUUACUGAAGGAGAGUAAUGGAAAUUUAUGAGAAAUUAAGCCGUUGGUUACAGAGACUAGGUAGGGACCGAGUCAUCUAUACCAGGGACCGAGUCAUCUAUAAGAGGAGGCAGAGACGAAGAGUAGGGGUAGGAAAAAAAGAUAUGGUUUUUAUAUUAUCUUUGAUGCUCUAGCUAAGGAUCAUCUGUCCUAAAACAGUUGCAUUUCUGGAUGUUUAAUGACAGCUCAAUAGUUUGCAGUUUUUUCACAAAGUAACAACAGAAUAUACCUUGUUUUUUCUUAAAACAUCACAAAUUUCCUCAGCAUUAAACAGUCGGCUGCGUUUUCCAGGAUGCCGACGACACUCUUUACGAACAAUUUCUUGACCCAUUUCUUGUAUUAGAUCGUGCAUCAUAAUAAUACCAUUAAAGACAGAUAUUAGGCACCUAUCUUUGAGAACAUCCAUUACAAUCUUAGUAGAGAAACCAUUGCAGUCAUCAAGUAUUUCUGCCAGCACAAUCUCCUGGUAUCCUCUAUAAAAGCAAGCAAUGUCAAGAAAUAUAUUCUUCUCCACCUCCUCGAGCCCAUCAUAACUUAAUUUUAAUACAUUGAAAAUACCAUGAUGUUGGCCCUUUUUCAACUUUUGCAACUGACUUUCCCAUGCUUCUUUUGUUCUGUCACAAAGCAAUGAGCCCAAAAUCUGGAGAGCUAACGGAAUCCCUUUUGCAUAACUCAACACCUUUCCUGACAGUUCCUUGUAAGCAAUUUCUUCUGAAGAUUUUUGUUUAAAAGCAUGUAAACUAAAAAGUCUUAGAGAAUCAUCAGAAUUCAACUCCUUAACUUCGUAGAUAUCAUCAGCUCUAGCAUUCUUAAGCACUUGUCUGUCUCUACUGGUCAUAAUGAUUCUACUGCCCUGCCUAAAACUAUCACUCCAUCCUAUUAAUUUUUGAAGUUGAGCUGAAUCGGUAACAUCAUCAAGAAUGAGGAGAGCCUUUGUCCGUUUGAGCCUUUCUUUGUAAUAUGGUAAAGAAGAAGAUUUCUCUUCCUUUAGAAGCUCAGACAGAUAUUUUGUUCUGAUACUAUCUAUUCCAUCUCUUUGUAUUUUUUCUUGAACGUCUAAAACAAGGCUGCUGGAAUCAAACUGCAAUGCCAAUUUCUGAUAUAUUUGAUCACAAAUUGUACUUUUUCCUAUUCCUCCCAUGCCCCAAAUUCCUAUGAUCCGAACAUCCGGUGACUCAGGAUGCAACAAGGACUGAAUUCCUUCAAUAUGUUUUUGAAUGCCGAUGAUUCCUUGAUCAUAACUGGUGGAAUAAAGAUUCAAUUUUCCCAAAAUAUCUUCCACAAUUUUUUCAACAAGUUUGUGGUCAUUCCUGGCAGAUGAUUUAGAAAAUAAAGUAUAAGAAUUCAAGCACAAAAGCUAAACUAAACUAAAGAAAAAUUCAGAGUCAAGAGGAGUGAACAUCAUUGAAUAGAUUCACAUAUCGAUUCUAGUUUCGAGUUCUGGAUAAAAUAAAUAAAUUAAAAAGUUGAAGGUAAGUUUAGGACGUUAUCUUCCUAUAUUAGUUUGGUUGGUUUAGUAAUUGCAAAUCAAGAUCGCAGAAAUUCUACAGUAACCGUAUGUGACUUCUGAUAAUAGGGAGCAGAUUUGUAGGUACAAAGUUAAGCUAUAACAUGUGAUAUGGUUCAGAUCCAUGACCGACUAAGAGAAAUGAAAAAAGAAACACUUGAUUUAUGGUGAGAUGAACACAAUUUUAGUAAAUGAAAAGAGAUCCUGAUUAUCUAAUAAAUAUAAUGACCUGGUGACUUUUGAAUCCCAGCCUGCAAGUUCAGCAGCUUCGGUUAGAGCAUCCUUCCAUCCUUGCACUCUGUCCAUGUCGUGCUUAAGCCGCUGUUCAUGCUCAUCAAAUGCUUCUUUGAAUCUUUGUUCCUGCUUCCUAAUAGUUGAUGGAUCCACCUUGUAGAAAACAGGUAUCACAUCCCUUCCAUAUCUCUUCUUGCAUUCAAGUAUCUUAGUGAGUUCAUUCAAGCACCAAGUGGAAGAUGCAUAGUUUUGGGAGAAAACGAUGACAUAAAUCUUUGAUUCUUCUAUUGCAGAGAGUAGUGCAGGUGAAAUUUCUUCGCCCCGGGGUAGUCUCUCGUCAAUAUAUGCUUGAAUGUUCUUCCUUUGCAGUGCUGCAUGAAGGUGACGAAUGAAGUUGUCACGUGUGUCUUCCCCUCUGAAGCUGAGAAACACAUCAUGCUUUGUUAGAGAAGCAGACACGGGGAAUGAUGAAGGACUUCCUGACAUUGGAAUCAAUUUUCUCUCUUUUCUCUUGCAACUCUCAGUGCCUUUGUUUGUACACAAAUCAACUCUUGGAAAAGUCUUUGAAUUUUCUCAAAAGUAUCUUUCACAGAUCACGCACGCGUGGAAACAUAGCUGUGUUAAAAUCCUUAUUUAAGUUUUAAUUGGGCCUUGUAGUGGGCUUUGUAAUGUGCUUUUCUUUUCUCCUACAUUGCUUUAUAUAUACACCUCAGCGUUUGCUUUCUACAUUUCAUUUUACAAAAUACAUUCUCUCAUUUUCUACCUUUUAUAUUGUCUGAUUCCGUUCUCUCUUUAUUUUUUUUCAAAUCUCUUUUGCUUACAAUUUUUUUUUCUUUUUUAAGAAAUGUACUUUUUCAAGUUUAAUUUAAUUUUAUAAAACAGUCAUCUUUCUACAGUAUUAUCAUCUCUUACGUGAGAUUAUUAUAUAUUAUUUGGUGAUCUAAGUAAACUUUUAAUCCAAUAAACUUUAAAAAUAAUUCUAAUACUAUAUUAAAAAAUGAAAUUUAAAUCUAAUUCUAUUUUAUAAAAUAUAUUUAUUCAAUGCUAAAAUAUCUCUAAUUGAGUAGGGAUGUUCAAAAUACUUAUUGGUUCUUGAUUUUCACUUUCACUUUUAAGGUUUUUCUUCGCAGACACGUAGUAAACAGAAAUACAAAAAUAUGAGUCAAUGGAAGAGUCUAACGAUUCGCAGAAUAUUAUGGUGUCUAGCUUUAUACCGCAUUAAUGCGAGGAGUUUCUUUAAUAUUUUUACUCAAUUUAUUUAUUUUUAAUUCUUUUUUUUUUCACACCUUUUACAAAUAAAGAAUCGUAUUUCUUUAAUAUAUUUUAGAAAAUAACCACUAAACCUUAUUAUAAAAUAUAUUUAUGAAAUGCACGUGUAAGAAUAACAGGAAAAAUAUUACUACGAAAAACAAUAUAUUAAUAUUAAUAUGUUUCUUAAUAAAUUUCAUACCCACUGUCUAUUUAUAAAUUAAUAUAAUAUAAAUAUCUUUAAUGAUGUUUUUGUGGGUAGCUUAUUUCUCUAACGCAGAAUAUUAUGGUGUCUACUUUUAUAAAACAUUACAUUUUGAUUUUAAUAUUUAUUAAAUAUUUUUUAUUUGGGAUGAAGUAACGAUGAUGAAUCGAAUGUGUUUUGAAGUCUGACAUAACUUUUAGAGAUGUUAUGAGAACGGUUAAUGACGGAAAUUAUCAAAAACCUUUUGGGGGAAGGUUGUGGUUUUGGGAGGUGAUUUCAGGUAAAUAUUGUUAGUGGUAAAAAAAGGAUUAAGAUAUGAUGUUGUGAAGUCAACAAUCAACUUUUCUCAUUUGUGGUUAAAUUGUCGAGUCUUAAAACUUUCUCAAGGAAAUCCAACACGAUCUAUUGAUUGAGCCCACAAAAACACCUUUGUUAUCAUUGGUGAAUUUUGUUUAUCCUAAUUUAUUGACUGAUAUGUUAUGUCCUGAGUACUUUGAGUAUGGAGCAAUACUUUGUCCGACAACUGAAUCAGUAGAGCAAGUGAAUGAUUUUAUUUUAUCUCUGUUAAGUGGUAAAUAAAUAAAUUAUCUUAGUUCGGAUACACCUUGCCAAUUAGAUUAAGAUCAAGAAUUUAAAGUGAAUGGUUCACUUCUGAGUUCUUAAAUGAGAUAAAAUGUUCAGAGAUACUAAAUCAUCGCCUUCAUUUGAAAAUUGGCGUGCCUAUUAUGCUUUUGAGAAAUAUUGAUCAAACCAACGGUCUUUGUAAUGGAACAAGGUUGCAAGUUAUUGAUUUGAAGAAAAUGUUAUUUGUGCAAUAGUUCUAACAGGAACAAAUAUUGGUGAUAAAAUCUUUAUUUCAAUAAUGAAUUUGAUCCCUUUAGAUGUAGGUAUGCCAUUCAAAUUCUAGAGAAGACAAUUUCCAAUAACUUUAUGUUUUGCAAUGACAAUUAAGAAAAGUCAAAGUCAAUUAUUGACCAAAGUUGGUUUAUAUUUUUCACGUCCAAUUUUCACACAUUGAUAGUUGGAUGUAGCUAUUUAUAGAGUUAGAAAGAAAAAAAUUUAAAAAUUCUAACUCUUGAUGAAGAUGGGAAUGCAACAAACAAGAAAAAGAAAAUGUUUACACUGAAACUUUUGACAAUAUUUAAAAACAAUAGAAUUAUAUGAUAAACUUGGAAUAAUGGCUAAUUCUCCCUGCACCCAAUAUUUUUGAACAUGCAACUUUUAAAUUUGCUCCCUUGUAAUUAUAUUUUCUUAUGUGUGAUGUAGUAACAGUUGCCUUAUUUAAAAUGUUACUAAAUAACAUAUCAUUUAUAUCUGUUAUUUUUAUUCUGUUCUGAUUUUAUAUAUAUGUUAACGAAGUUGAGAAUUUUCUGAUUUUACAGGUCCAUGCACAAACCUAAUAUAAUGAUAUGAUAUUCAAUAUCAAGAGGUACUUGUCGUAAAACGGGGAAUAUGAGAGACUCCAUAGAAUGAAGAAAAAGUAUAAAGAGGAUUUACAAAUUACCCUUUCAAAUGCAGCUCCUCAGAAUUUCUUAAUGCCUUCACUGCAAAUGCAACCCAAAUAAGCUAAAGAAGUUAAUCAAACUAUACAUUAAGAGUUUCAAGAAAAUGAAACUCUGGAACAACAGAGCAACCCAUCUCAUGCUCAAUAGAAACAUCAAACUAUAUCUAACAAUAACUUAGAAAUCUUUGUCAACAAUUGAACGAACCCACUCCUAAAAUGCCAUUGAAAAUGUAAAUAAAUAAAUAAAAAUUAAAAAUGAGAAUUCAUAAUAAAAUUUCAUCGUGUUGAAACUUGUAAUUUAGAAGUAUUACGAUAAGCCAGUUUUGAUCCUCGCGAAUGAAAGACUAAUUAGCAGAAAGACUGUGCAAAAUUCCUUCCACUGGAUUCUUCGAUGUCAACUGAUUUGGUAUAAAGAGGACAUAUGCCGCAUUCUUUUAUUGUGAUAACUGAUUUCAACUCUCUCACAAGUAAUUUGCGAUUUGACCGAUUUGGCCGCAGAAAGGGAUCAUCAUAAUCAUGCGAACUGAUCUCAAAAGUGAAGCUGCGAGCAUCACACAGCCUAAGGCUCAUGCCGCUUGCCCUUAGGGACUCCAAGUUAAAUUUCCACACCAAUGUGUGAUCUUUAUCAACACCUCUCUCUUCAUCAUCCCAUCUGAAAUAGUUGUUUAACACAUCAUUAUUUGGAAUUAUCCGUGUGCCAUGAUCAUCAGAUUCAAAUUUUAGGCUGUAACCAAAGGAACCAUAUCUACCUUUAACAACUUUCGUAUCUAACACUUCAAAAACCACACACAAAGCGAAACCACUGAGCCUAUCAUCGCUUAAAAAACUUAAAUCUUCAUUUAUAGUCACUGAAUGUCCCUUCCCACGAAAAUGGAACCAACCAGGAACUGCACUCCCUGGAAAACAGAAGAACACACACCUAUAUCUAUCGUCGGUCAUCCUAAGCCUUGCAUCCUCCUCAAUGUUAGCACGACCACCUGAAUCCAGUUGUUGAGCAUUGGUCAAAAGAAAUUUGAAGAAACCCUCUUUGGAAUUUGACAAGUUUGGAACAAGAGAAUUGGACAUCACUCUUCUAAUGGAUGGGCAAUCCAAUGCCACUAGUUUUUUUAGAAAUGGUGGAAUCUCUGGGAUGCAUUCAAGCUUUUUGCAGUCGCUUAAAUCAAGCGAUUUCAAGCUUGAAAGAUGAGCAACGCUCUCAGGAAGGUUCACAAUUCCGCUAUCACACAGUGACAGUUCCAUUAAUGACGUCAAGCGACCGAUAUCUCUAGGGAUUUCUGUUAAUCUGGCACACCCCGAACAAUCAAGUUUAGAGAGAAGCUUGAGAUUAACAAUGGAGUUUGGAAGUGACUCCAGAUCAGUGCAUUUGCGGAGCUCCAGGGAUCGAAGAUUAACCAAAUUGGCAAAUGAGGAAGGCAGUUCUUUAACAGCCGUACAUAUCAAGUUAAUGUGAUCAAAAGUAGGAGCCGGCUCUGUGAUCUCUGGGAAGGUCCUCAGACUUGAGCAACCACACAAAUCAAGGUUCCUCAACUUCAAAUUGAAAAUGGUGCUUGGAAAAGUUUGUAGUGAACUACAGUGGGUAAGGUCUAACUUGCAUAGUCUGGUGAGGCUUCCAAUGGAAGAUGGAAUAAUCUCAAGAUUGAAGCAACUGCACAAACUCAGUUGUUGAAGCCCUACCAAACGGCACAAGGAUGAAGGUAGUGCCUGUAUGGCUGUGUCGUCUAAGAUGAGCACCACUAGAUCUUCCAACGUGUCCUGAAUCUGGGGUAAAUUUUCCAAUUUUGAGCAACCACGGAGUGAAAGUUGCUUUAGGAACUUCAUAUCAGAAAGGUCAAAUGGAAAGAUUGUAAGGGAAGAACAGUGAGAGAGAUCUAAGUGACAGAGCCUCUUGAGAUUUUGAAAGUUUGAGGGUACACCUUCGAGUAUUGUCGACACUUCACAUUGUGAGUAUAUAGUAUUAUUACCCACUUCUUCUUCGUUAUAUCUGUCAAAACUAAUUGAGGAAAUUUCACUGGAAGUUGGGAAAAUACCUUUAGCAUUAUGGAAUUUAACAGUCCCUCCCAAAAGUAAACUUGAGAAAGUUGGACGUUGACCCUCCAGUUUCACAUGAAGGUAUCUGGGUUGACUGGUUGAAAACAUUUCAAGCUCCUCACAGUGAGAAAGAAUGAUCAAUCCUGGAGAUGUGGAUAAAAUCUUGUUGGGAAUAUUUACACUUUUGAGAUGAUAACAAUGAUCUAAACAUAAACAACUGAGCUUGCUGAGGAAUAUCGAAGAGUGAACUUUAAUCAACUUUUGACAAUAACUCAGAAUUAGUUCUUCAAUAUUCGGUGACAGAGAAAGGUCUGGUAUUCUAGUAAGUUUCAGAGAAUGACUCAGGUUGAGCCUUUUCAAGUUGGGUAAAUUCUGCCACAAAAAGUAAAUGAAUCAGGUAACAAUGAAAAACUAAAAUAAAGUUUUAUGCAAUUUUAUCUAUUUUUCUUCGGUAAACUAUGAGCUACAUCAUCUAUCGAGUUUAUAUUUUACAUAAAACCACUGUUAAAAAAAUCACACUGUUAACUAACAAAAUUAUGGUCACUAUAAAUUUUAUAGUUAUUAUAAAAAUUCACAAAAUUUAACGUGUUUUUGUUCUCUACCUAAAAUUACAUCCUAAUAAUUUGAACCUAAGCUUAUUAUGUAUUGAAAAACUUACUAUAGUAAUUUAUAAUCCAUGACAAUGUCGAAAUACUUUAUACUAUGCAUGUUAAAAUUUGAUAAAAUGUCGAAAUACUGACAAAAUAAAAAUGGUGUUUUCCGAGAGUUAAAAUUAAACUUUAGUUAAAAUAAGUCCAUCUUUACAUAUUUUAUAAUUUGUUGUAUAUUAUAUUGAAGUUGAUGUUAUAAUAAAAAAAUGACUUAAUUAAUCGAAAAAUGUGGAGAAAACACAAAGAAAUUGCAAAUGCUUGUAUAAUUUAUUUUUAUCUUUGAAAGUUUAAAAGACAAAGGAACAUAGAUAACUUGAAAAACCUGAUCUCCUUCCCAGAGUUGUUCAAGACGGCAGCCUGGCAUUUCGAGGAUCACUAGAUUUUGUGGGCAAAAGUUUGGAGGCCAAAAUCUUUGCGGGAAAUCUCUCCAAUAAAGAAACUUUAGAGUGUCUGGCAGACCUACGAGAGAUGAUUCAAGAGACACAUUUGAUAUGUAUUCAGUUGAGUAGAGUAAAAACGUCCAAAGAUCAUCCAACUCUUUACGAGACACAUCUGAUAUGUAUUUAGUUUUAUUUUGCUCGUAUCUAGUAAUAUACACUGUAUUGCAUCUGACCCCUGAAAGUAAAUCAAUGUAAUUAGAAGAAAAAAACAUGAAAUGUUGCAUUGCAGGAUGUUUGAUGACAGCUCAGUGGUUUGCAAUUUUUCACAAAGUAAAUUAAUGACAGGUCAGUAGUUAUAUACCUUAUUCUUUCUUAAAACCUCACAAAUUUCCUCAGCAUUAAACAAUCGGCUGCGUUUUCCAGGAUGCUGAGGACACUCUUUACGAACAAUUUCUUUACCCAUUUCUUCUAUUAGAUCGUGCAUCACAAUUCUACCAUCAAUGACAGAUAUUAGGCCCCUAUCUUUCAGAAUAUCCAUUCCAAUCUUAGAAGAGAAACCAAAGUCAUCAAGUCUUUCUGCUACCUCAAUCUCCUCGUGACCUCUAUAAAAGCAAGCUAUGUCAAGAAAUAUAUUCUUCUCCUCCUCCUCCAGCCCAUCAUAACUUAAUUUUAAUACAUUGAAAAUACCAAGAUGUUGGCCCUUUUUCAACUUUUGCAACUCACUCUCCCAUGCUUCUCUUGUUCUGCCAUAAAGCAAUGACCCCAAAAUCUGGAGAGCUAACGGAAUCCCUUUUGCAUAUCUCAACACCUUUUCUGACAGGUCCAUGUAAGAUUUUUCUGCUGAAGAUUUUUGUUUAAAAGCAUGUAAACUAAAAAGUUUAUGAGAAUCAUCAAAAUUCAACUCCUUAACCUCGUAGAUAUCAUCAGCUCCAGCAUUUCUAAGCACUUGUCUGUCUCUACUGGUCAUAAUGAUUCUACUGCCCUGCCCAAAACUACCACUCCCUCCUAUUAAUUUUUUAAGUAUAGCUGAAUCGGUAACAUCAUCAAGAAUGAGGAUAGCCUUUGUCCGUUUGAGCCUUUCAUUGUAAUAUGAUAAAUCAGGGGAUUUCUUUAUCUCUUCCUUUAGAAGCACAGACAGAUAUUUUCUUCUGAUACUGUCUAUUCCAUCUCUUUGUAUUUUUUCUUGAACGUCUAAAACAAGGCUGCUGGAAUCAAACUGCACUGCCAAUUUCUGAUAUAUUUGAUUACAAAUUGUAGUUUUUCCUAUUCCUCCCAUGCCACAAAUUCCUAUGAUCCGAACAUCCGUUGACUCAAGAUGCAACAAGGACUGAAUUCCUUCAAUAUUUUUUUCAAUGCCGAUGAUUCCUUGAUCAUAACUGGUGGAAUAACGAUUCAAUUUUCUCAAAAUAUCUUCCACAAUUUCUUCAACAAGUGCGUGUUCUGGCCUGGCAGAUGAUUUAGAAAAUAAAGUAUAAGUAUUCAAGCACAAAAGCUAAAGUAAACUAAAGAAAAAUUUUACAGUAACCGUUUGUGACUUCUGAUACUAGGGAGCAGACUUGUAGGUACAAAGUUAAACUAUAAGAUCAGAUAUGGUUCAGAUCCAUGACCGACUAAGAGAAAUGAAAAAAGAAACACUUGAUUUAUGGUGAGAUGAACACAAUUUUAGUAAAUGAAAAGAGAUCCUGAUUAUCUAACAAAUAUAAUGACCUGGUGACUUUUGAAUCCCAGCCUGCAAGUUUAGCAGCUUCAGUUAGAGCAUCCUUCCAUCCUUGCACUUUAUCGUGCUUAAGGUGCUGCUCAUGCUUUUCGAAUGCUUCAUUGUAUCUUUGUUCCUGCUUCCUAAUAGUUGAUGGAUCCACCUUGUAGAAAACAGGUAUGACAUCCCUUCCAAAUCUCUUCUUGCAUUCAAGUAUCUUAGUGAGUUCAUUCAAGCACCAAGUGGAAGAUGCAUAGUCUUGGGAGAAAACGAUGACAUAAAUCUUUGAUUCUUCUAUUGCAGAGAGGAGAGCAGGUGAAAUUUCUUCGCCCCUGUUUAAUCUGUAAUCAAUAUACGCUUCAAUGUUCUUCCUCUGCAGCGCUGCAUAAAGGUGACUAAUGAAGUUGUCACGUGUGUCUUCCCCUCUGAAGCUGAGAAACACAUCAUGCUUUGUUAGAGAAGUAGACACGGGGAAUGAUGAAGAACUUCCUGACAUUGGAAUCAAUUUUCUCUCCUUUCUCUGCAAAUCUCAGAUUCCUUUGUUUGUACCAUUUCUACCUGAAGAAGUGUUUAAAUUUUCUCAAAAUACCUUGCACAGCGUGUUCUGGUCAGACAUAAAGAAAAAGACAAAUAUUAAGUUAAUAGAAUAGUCAACAAUUUAAAAAAUAAGUAUGAAAUAUAGAUAUAUAUCAUUAUCACGUGUGGAAGCUACGUCGUCUUGUAUUGGAUUUUCUAAUCUGCCUUUUAUCUUGUCUCAUUCUUCUUUAUCUUUUUUCUCUCAUCUCUCUUGCUUACGAUUUCUUUGCCUUUAUUCAGAAAUUUUAUUUAUAAUAAACCUUCAAUAAUAUUUGUACUUUCUAGCAUAUAGAAUACUUAAUGGAUCCUUUUCUGAUUUUUCUUUUCUAAAGUGCAAUUGAUAUUUUAAAUGUUUUUCUAUUUAAUUUUCCUUUCUUAAUGACACAUAAAAUGGUUCAGUGCACAAUUAAUUACUCUCACCUUAGAUUUCAUUCAUCUCAUUCCAUUUCCACACUCAAAUCAUUCUCACAUUUGUUUCUACCUGUUUCACAAAGUUUUAGUUAAAAUAUGGAAAUUAAUGUUCAAGAACCCUACUUAAUAUUAAUAUUCAACAAUUUAAAAUAUUAAAAUGCAAAUUAAUCUUUCUUAAUAAUGUCAUUUUUAUGUAAAAAAUAAAAUGUAGUUUAGUCAUUUAUACUUAGAUGGAUAAAGAUGGUUUUAGAAAAAAAAAUGCAUUUUAUUUCAAAGGUUAUCUAAGCUCUGAACUCAUUUAUGAAUUAAUAAUAAUAAAUAAUAUGUAAUUGUAUUCCAAUACCAUAUAAUUUUUUUUAUUGGGUGCGUUUCUGAUGAAUUAAUUAAUGCACUCUAGGGACAAUGAUCGCUCUAGUAUUUGAUUUUUUUAUUUAUUUUAAUGUUGAAAUUAUAGCUAUUUAGUACAGAUACUAUUGACACCGACACAGAUACGACACAGACACAGAGAUACUUAAAAUCUCUAAAAUGUAAGAUACAGAGACAUUAAUCUAUAUAUUAUAUAAUUAUGAAUUAUAUAAAUUAACAAUAAAGACUUAUGUGCACAAGUAUUUUGGAGAUUAUUUUUUAAGCAGAAAUAUGUUUUUCAUGACUGUUUCACAAAGAUUUGUUUCUUAUUUUUAUAAUCAUAAUAACAAUUUAUACCAUAAAGUUUGAAUUUUAGAAAAUUAAUGUAUUUUUUCUUUUUAAAAUUCCGUUAGAAUCGUACUAAAAUUGUAAAAAAUCUAACAAAUACAUUUUGAAUUGGACAUUUCACAAAUACAUGUCCUACCAGUAUCAUACGAAUGUAAACAAAAUUCUUUCUUCAUAUGCCGCAUUCUUUUACUGUGAUAACUCAUUUCAACUCUCUCACAACUGAUUCGUAAUCUGUGGGAUGCAUUAAAGCCUUUUGCAGUUAAAUCAAUAGUAUAUGAUGAUGUGAAUGUUAUUUAUAUACUAAAUAUAAUCACAUAGUAACUUCAAAUUUGAUAAGGUACAACAUGUUACCAUAUCUCUUUUAAUUUCUUUUAUUUCAUUAUAUAUUUAGGUGUAUUUAAUUUCUUUUUAUUUCAUUGUGUAUUUAGGUGUAUUACGUAAAAUAUAUAAUUAAAAAGAAAGAAGAAUAAUGUUAUUUUUAAAUUUAAAGAAUGACAUAUAGAAAUAAACAAGCUAUUUUGAAAUUUUUAGAUUUUACAAAACAUUACAUUUUGAUUUUAAUAUUUAUAAAAUAUUUUUUAAUUUCAUAUUUAAAACACAACACUUAGUUGAGUGUGUUCCUUAGUUACUUACCAAAUAACAACAUACAUCUUAUCGGGUCUUUUUGCGACCCGACCCAAACUCAUCUCGAUCCUAGUAGGGUUCGCAUCAUCUUCAAUUGAGGAGUAGAUUUGUCAGGAGGAAAAUAAAUUGAUUUAUAAGAACAUGUGAAGUUGUUUAGAUUGAGGAAUAAUAGAUGGAUUUUGAUUAUGAUUUAUGGUAAGUUUAAAAAAAAUAGAUUUGUUUCUUUUAACAUUUUUUGUAUUAUAAUUAUUUGCUGGCUGAAUUGUUUUGAGUUAACAUGUUUUCUUGGGGUAUGAUAUUGUGAGGUUUUAUUACAUGCAGGUACGUGAAUAUUUUUUUUAUUCUAGUUGUAUAAAUCAGGAAAAAAUGUUUUUCACAAUAUAAUUAUAAUAACCGUUUAACAACCUAAAUAAUAAUAAAAUAUUAACUCAUAUUAUUUAAUUAAAUUAUUAAAUAAAAAGUAGUAAAACUGAUUGUAGGAUGGGAAUAUGAUUAUUUUUAACUGCUAGCUCCUCAUUAUUCUUUUAUAAUAAAAAACACACUAGUAGGUGUUGAAAAUCGUAAUAUAACAAACAAGUUUUGACACACGUAGGUUUGGCAAUUGUUUUAAUAGCUGAAAAUAGUAAAACAAUUUUUAAUUACCACAAACUGCAUCUUAAAUCAUAAAAAAUAGCAUUUUUUAGUUCAUAUAUAAUAACAUUUCCAUAAAUAAAUCUCCCGCCGCCAUUGAUAUUAAUCAUUAAUAAUUUUAGAUAAUAUUUUUUACUAUAAAACAUUUAAUUGAGAUUGAAUUUUUAAUUCACACUUUUUGGUCAAAGAAUAAUAUAUUUCAUUUUUUUAUUUAUUAAAUAUUUUGUAUAAUGCUGAGAAAAAAAAAUCUCACACACACACACACAUAUAUAUAUAUAUGAUCCCUAUGUCCUACAAGUACAAUAUAACAUCGUUAGUAUAAUGAAUAAAAAUAAUGAGUAUUCAAAGUCGUGUAUUUACGUAAAAGAAUAACAUGAUUUUUAAAAGAACUCACAUUAUCAGUUUAAAUUUUGACGAUAAAAUACAUUAAUUAUAUAUAUUUAUUCAAAAUUUCAAUUAUAUUAUGCAUUAAUGGUUUUAUGCUUUUAGAGGAAUCAGAGAAACUUAGAAAAGCUUAAUGAAACCCUAUGAAUAAAGGAGAUGUAAAAGAAAGAGAAAAAGGAAGUGAGAAAAGAUGAUAAUUAAUAAACACCCACUCUUCAUAACAUAGAGUCUUUAAACCUAUAUUCCCUCAAACAGCAUUUAUAAGUUAUUAUCACCCACAUGGAAUAAGGUGCCUCAAUGUGAACAAACCAAGAUCAGUAAGAAAUAUGAGGUUCAAAUAACGAAGCUGAGAAUUUUCUGGUUUUACAGCUCCAUGCACAAACCUAAUACAAUGAUAUGAUAUUCCAUAGGAUGGAGAAAAGUAUGAUAUGAAGAGGAUUUACCAAUUACCCUUUCGAAUGCAGCUCCUCAGGAUUCCAUCAUGCCUUCACUGCACAUGCAACCCAAAUAUGCUAAAGAAGUUAAUCAAACCCAAAUAUAAAGAAUUUCUAGAGAAUGCAACUCUGGGACAACAGAGUACCCCAUCUCAAGCUGAACAGAAACAUUAAACUAUAUCUAACAAUAACUUAGAAAUCUUUGUCAACAAUGAACGAAUCCAACCGUAAAAUGCCAUUGAAAAUGUAAAUAAAACAAAAUAAAUUAGAUAUGAGAAAUUCAUGAUAAAAUUUCAACACUUGUAAUGUAGAAGCAUUACGAUAAGCCAGUUUUGAUCCUCACCAAUGAAAGUCUAAUUAGCAGAAGAGGAAGAGACUAGUUGACUGGGUAGCUUUCUGCAAUGCCUAUUUUAAGGUUACGCUUCCGGCAAAAAUAUAAUAGAAGACUGCUCUCAUGUCAAAGUUUCUCAUACAUAGAACAACCCGCAAAAGAGAUUAAACAUUCCAAAAGAUGUCUCAACAGAAAUGAAAUGAGAUCCUAACAACUUGUUGGGAAAGUACUAUUUUGCCUUCAAUUCCAUUACUUCCUUUUGCCUUUAAGAGUGCAGUCAUAAUCAUCAAAAUACUUAGACUUUGUGAUAUGUCUUUUGGGCUUGCUAUUCAUCUUUUGUUGCCUCCUCUUGAGCCAUAACACUUUUGGCCUUCCUCUUCCUAUAUUCCCUUGUGUCUCUUGAAGACUGUGCAACAUUACUUCGACUGGAUUAUUCAAUGUGAACAGCACCACCAUAUUCAUCAUCUUUCUUUUUGGAAUAAAGAGGGCAUAUGCCGCAUUCUUUUACUCUGAUAUCGGGCCACCAAUGGCUGAUCUCAAAAGUGAAGCUGCGAGCAUCACAGAGCCUAAGGCUCAUGCCGCUUGCCCUUAGGGACUCCAAGUUAAAUUUCCACACAAAUGUGUGAUCUUUAUCAAGAAAUCUGCCUGCAUCCGUCAAGUUUAACACAUCAUUAUUUGGAAUGAUCUGUGUGCCAUCAUCAUCAGAUUCAAAUUUUAGGCUGUAACCAAAAGAACUAUAUCUACCUUUAAUAUCAUUCGUAUCUAACACUUCAAAAACCACGCACAAAGAGAAACCAGUGAGCCUAUUAUCGCUGCAAAAACUUAAAUCUUCAUUUAUAGUCACUGAAUGUCCCUUCCCACGAAAAUGGAACCAACCAGGAACUGCACUCCCUGGAUAACAGAAGAACACAGACCUAUAUGCAUCGUCGGUCAUCCUAAGCCUUGCAUCCUUCUCAAUGUUAGCACGACCACCUGAAUCCAGUUGUUGAGCAUUGGUGAAAUGAAAUUUGAAUACACCCUCUUUGGAAUUUGAGAGGUUCCGAACAAGAGAAUUUGACAUCACUUUUCUAAUGGAUGGGCAAUCCAAUGCCACGAGUUGUUUUAGAAAUGGUGGAAUCGGUGGGAUGCAUUCAAGCUUUUUGCAGUCGCUUAAAUCAAGCGAUUUCAAGCUCGAAAGAUGAGCAAUGCUCUCAGGAAGGUUCACGAUUCCGCUAUCACGCAGUGACAGUUCCAUUAAUGACGUCAAACGACCAAUGUGCCUUGGGAUUUCUGUUAAUUUGGCACACCCCGAACAAUCAAGUUUAGAGAGAAGCUUCAGAUUAACAAUGCAGUUUGGAAGUGACUCGAGAUCAGUGCAUUUGCGGAGCUCCAGGGAACGAAGAUUAACGAAAUUGGCAAAUGAGGAAGGCAGUUCUUUAACAGUCGUAGAUGUUAAGUUAAUGUGAGCAAAAGUAUGAGCCGACUCCGUGAUCUCUGGGAAGGUCCUCAGCCUUGAGCAACCACGCAAAUCAAGGUUCCUCAACUUCAAAUUGAAAAUGGUGCUUGGAAAAGUUUGAAGUGAAUUACAGUGGGCAAGGUCUAACUUGCAUAGUCUGGUGAGGCUUCCAAUGGAAGAUGGAAUAAUCUCAAGAUUGAAGCAACUGUGCAAACUCAGUUGUUGAAGCCCUACCAAACGGCACAAGGAUGAAGGUAGUGCCUGUAUGGCUGUGUCGUCUAAGAUGAGCACCGCUAGAUCUUCCAACGUGUCCUGAAUCUCGGGUAAAUUUUCCAGUUUUGAGCAACCACUGAGACAAAGUUGCUUUAGGAAUUUCAUAUCAGAAAGGUCAAACGGAAAGAUUGUAAGGGAAGAACAGUCAGAGAGAUCUAAGUAACAGAGGUUCUUGAGACUUUGAAAGUUUAAGGGCACACCUUCCAAGAGACUGUUGAACACCUCUGAGUCUUCUGAGUCUGUAGCAUUAUUAGCCACUUCUAUAUUAUAUCUGUCAAAAGUAAUUGACAAAAUUUCACUGCUUGGGGAAAUUUCACUGGAAGUUGGGAAAUUUAUCUCUUUCGUCAUAUCCAGUUCCUGACGCUCCAGUAUGACAUGAGGGAGAAAUUUAUCUUCAUGUUUACUGAUUGAAAACAUAUUAAGCUUCCGACAAUGGGAAAGAGUAAUCCAUCCUGGUGAUGUGGAUAAAAUGUUGCUCGGAAUAUUUACACUAUUCAGAUCAUCACAAUGAUCUAAACAUAAACAACUGAGUUUGCUGAGGAAUAUCGAAGAGUGAAUUUCAAUCAACUUUUUACAAUAACUCAGAAUUAUUUUUUCAAUAUUUGGUGACAUAGAAAGGUCUGGUAUUCUAGCAAGUUUCCAAGAACGUGUCAGGUCGAGCCUUUUCAAGUUGGGUAAAUUCUGCCACAAAAAGUAAAUGAAUCAGGUAACAAAUAAUAACUACUUUAUCUAUUUUUCUUCCUAUUUAAACUAUUAGCUACUACUAUUGAGUUUAUAUUUUACAUUACUUAAAAACCACUGUUAAAAAAGCCACACUGUGGACUAACAAAAUUAUAUUUUAAAAUAUUAUUAAAGAUAAAAUAUGAAGAUAGGGUAAUUAAAUUAAAUAUAAUUUUUAUUUUUCAGAAAUGAUGAAAAUUAUAAUUAAAUUAACUAAAUUAUAUAAAAUUCCAUUUUAUUUACAUAACUCCUUUUCAUAUUAAAAAACUAUAUAAGAUCUUGAAACUAUAAUUAAUAUCUUAAAAAUUUAAAUAAUAAUAAUUAUUUCUACUCAUCCUUAAUUUUUGUUGGUGAAAUCUUGAUUUUUGGGAUAAUAUCACUUAAACUUAAGAAAUAUUUGACAUUAAUGAACUCUAAACAAAUUUAUAUAAGAAAUCAAGACAUCACUUUCAAUCCGAAAUCUUAAACUAAUAGGUUUAUGGAUUUUCUUUAUAUGUUGUUCAUCUUACCAAUUUGAACCCAAUGCGAGACUUUCAACUCUAAGAGAUGAAGUGGUGUACUUUAUGCUUCUAGGACUUGUUAGAUAUUGAAACAUGUACCAUUGCUAAAAUGUUUGAAUGAAGGAGAAGUCAAAGUCUCUCUCCUUUAGAGAUAUUCGCUCAAGUGGCAAGAGGUUGAUUAAGCAAGAGAGAGAUCGUAUUAAUUCUCUCUUCUAUGCAAUUGUUGUCGUUCAAACAAUGUGGAAUCAUUCAAGCAAAGAAAUCUUCUUUUGGGUUAGGAAACAAGGUUUUUCAAGCGAGAUAAACUCGUCUAAAGAAUUUAACUCUAGUAGUGAAAUGUUGUUGCCAUGAUUUAGCCAAGUGUUUGUAUCUAUGAGGCUAAUGAUGAUGAUGACGAUGAUAAGAUGCAUGAAUGUGUAUACACAAGUGUAUGAUAUACCUCAUGUUAUAUAUUGUAUGUGAUUCAAUUGAUGACCAUUUAUUUUUAGGCCAUUUAUAUGUAUAUUUUGGCCCUUUUAUGAGUAUGUGACGAGAUAUACCUAAGAUUGUAUUAUGAUCCUAAUGAGUCGAAGUAUCAAACACAAAACUCAUUAUGGAAAAAAAAAGAUAUUUUGUGCAUCAGUUAUGAUAUGAUCACAACAAUUAAAGCAUGUGUGAACGGUUAAUAUUGUUCUUAAUAAGAAAACAAAUAAUAUUGUAUGUGACAUUAGAGAUGUCAAAUAGGUUUAGAAAAUUAUUAAGUUUAAUUAUCUUUUUAGUCUUUAUAUUAAUGACCAAAAGUCAAUUCAGAUUUUUAGAAAGUUCAAUAUGAUUUAAUUUUUUAAAAAACAAUUCAAUGUGAUUCCUUCUAGUAUAUUUCCCUUAUUAAAAUAUUUUUAUCUUAAUGAUUCUGCCACUGUUAAGUUAUAUGUGUUGUUAUCACAUUGAAUUGUUUUAAAAAAAUUUGGAACCACCACAUUAAAUUGUUUUAAAAAGUUAGUACUAAAUUGAACUUUUGAAAAUUGGGAGAAUGAAAUUAAAUUUUGUCUAUUAAUACAGGGACAAAAAAUAAUUGAAUCAAAUAUUUUACUAUUUUUGUGAUGUAUAUUUAUAUAUAAAUAAUUUUGAGAAUUUAGAGUUACAAUGUGUUAUAUCAUAUAUAUAUAAUUCUUUUUGGUAAUGUAUCCUGUAGUUGUAAGCAAGUAUGAUUAUAUUAAGUGGGGCGUUUCAAAUAGUGGAGACUACGCAUAUACAAAUAUCUCUUAUAAAGUAAGAAAACAAAACAAUCGUUACUCAAGAAGAUCAUGCAAUGCAUCACAGACAACAUGGGAGAUAUAUAUCAACAAUAAUAUGAGUAAAUAAUACAUUCAUGGGCCAUUAGACGAUAUGCCUAAAAAAAAUAUGCAAACUAUUAAAUUUAUAAUUAUUUUUAAUUAGAAACAUGCUGAGUAUGACUCUUAUGAUAUAUGUAUAACUGUGUGCUUCAAAUAAAAGAAAUUUCAAAUCGAAUAAUGUGGAGAAGGCACAAAGGAAUUGCAAAUGAAAACCUGUAGAUGUAUAAUACACAAAACAUGCUUGUCUAAUUUAUUUUUAUCUUUGAAAGUUUAGAACACAAAGGAACAUAGAUAACUUGAAAAACCUGAUCUCCUUCCCAGAGUUGUUCAAGAUCGCAGUAUGGCAUUUCGAGGAUCACUAGAUUUUGUGGGCAAAAGUUUGGAGGCCAGAAUCUUUGAAGGAAACCGUUCCAAUAAAGAAACUUUAGAGUGUCCGGCAGACCUACAAGAGAUGAUUCAAGAGACACUUUUGAAUUCAAUCUAGGCAUGUAGACCAUAAGCAUCAUAAGAUUGUCCAUCUUUUCGAAACUUUGUGCAUGUACUACAGCAUCUUUUACUUUGUUCGUAUGAUAUUGAUAUACACUGUAUUGCAUCUGACCCCUGAAAGUAAAUCAAUGUAAUUAGAAAAAAAAACAUGAAAUGUUGCAUUUCAGGAUGCUUAAUGACAGCUCAGUAGUUUUCUAUUUUUCACAAAGUAACAACAGCAUAUACCUUGUUCUUUCUUAAAACCUCACAAAUUUCCUCAUCAUUAAACAAUCGGCUGCGUUUUCCAGGAUGCUGAGGACACUCUUUACGAACAAUUUCUUUACCCAUUUCUUGUAUUAGAUCGUGCAUCACAAUUCUACCAUCAAAGACAGAGAUUAGACCCCUAUCUUUGAGAAUAUCCAUUCCAAUCUUAGAAGAGAAACCACAGUCAUCAAGUGUUUCUGCUACCACAGUCUCCUCUUGCCCUCUAUAAAAGCAAGCUAUGUCAAGAAAUAUAUUCUUCUCCUCCUCCUUGAGCCCAUAAUAACUUAAUUUUAAUACGUCGAAAGUUCCAAGAUCUUGGCCGUUUUCCAACUUUUGCAACUGACUCUCCCAUGCUUCUCUUGUUCUGCCAUAAAGCAAUGACCCCAAAAUCUGGAGAGCUAACGGAAUUCCUUUUGCAUAUCUCAACACCUUUACUGACAGGUCCAUGUAAGCAAUUCCUUCUGAAGAUUUUUGUUUAAAAGCAUGUAAACUAAAAAGUUUCAGAGAAUCAUAAAAAUUCAACUCCUUAACUUCGUAGAUAUCAUCAGCUCCAGCAUUCUUAAGCACUUGUCUGUCUCUACUGGUCAUAAUGAUUCUACUGCCCUGCCCAAAACUAUCACUCCCACCUAUUAAUUUUUGAAGUUGAGUUGAAUCGGUAACAUCAUCAAGAAUGAGGAGAACCUUUGUCCGUUUGAGCCUUUCAUUGUAAUAUGGUAAAUAAGAGGAUUUCUCUUCCUUUAGAAGCUCAGACUGAUAUUUUGUUCUGAUACCGUCUAUUCCAUCUCUUUGUAUUUUUUCUUGAACGUCUAAAACAAGGCUGCUGGAAUCAAACUGCAAUGCCAAUUUCUGAUAUAUUUGAUCACAAAUUGUAGUUUUUCCUAUUCCUCCCAUGCCACAAAUUCCUAUGAUCCGAACAUCCGUUGACUCAAGAUGCAACAAGGACUGAAUUCCUUCAAUAUUUUUUUCAAUGCCGAUGAUUCCUUGAUCAUAACUGGCGGAAUAACGAUUCAAUUUUCUCAAAAUAUCUUCCACAAUUUCUUCAACAAGUGCGUGUUCUGGCCUGGCAGAUGAUUUAGAAAAUAAAGUAUAAGUAUUCAAGCACAAAAGCUAAAGUAAACUAAAGAAAAAUUUUACAGUAACCGUUUGUGACUUCUGAUACUAGGGAGCAUACUUGUAGGUACAAAGUUAAGCUAUUGUGUGAUAUGGUUCAGAUCUAUGACCGACUAAUAGAAAUGAAAAAAGAAGCACUUGAUUUAUGGUGAGAUGAACACAAUUUUAGUAAAUGAAAAGAGAUCCUGAUUAUCUAAUAAAUAUAAUGACCUGGUGACUUUUGAAUCCCAGCCUGCAAGUCCAGCAGCUUCGGUGAGAGCAUCCUUCCAUCCUUGCACUGUGUCGUGCUUAAAGUGCUGCUCAUGCUCAUUGAAUGCUUCUUUGUAUCUUUCUUCCUGCUUCCUAAUAGUUGAUGGAUCCACCUUGUAGAAAACAGGUAUCACAUCCCUUCCAUAUCUCUUCUUGCAAUCAAGUAUCUUAGUGAGUUCAUCCAAGCACCAUGUGGAAGAUGCAUAGUUUUUGGAGAAAACGAUGACAUAAAUCUUUGAUUCUUCUAUUGCAGAGAGGAGUACAGGUGAAAUUUCUUGGCCCCUGAGUAAUCUGUAAUCAAUAUAUGCUUGAAUGUUCUUCCUUUGCAGCGCUGCAUAAAGGUGACUAAUGAAGUUGUCACGUGUGUCUUCCCCUCUGAAGCUGAGAAACACAUCAUGCUUUGUUAAAGAAGCAGACAUGGCCAAUGAUGAAGGGUUUCAAUGUUCUCUGCAACUCUCAGAUCCCUUUGUUUGUAAGCAACUUCCAUAUAUUCUAUUAGGAAGGAAAAUAUAUAUUUCUACCAUUCCUACCACAAAUUGAAAAAGCCUUUCAAUUUUCUCAAAAUAUCUUUCACAGCUGUGUUCUGUCAGAUACGAAACAUUGAGUCAAUGGAAGAGUCAACAAUUGGCAGAAUAUUAUGGUGUGUAGCUUUAUACCAUUCUUACAAUAUUUGAUUGGUUGAAUAUAUACAAUAUGACUAAUGAACUUUUUUCUUUUCCGUAUUCCACGAUAAUUCCCUAGGCACCCUAUUAUACACUUUCUUAUCAACGGAAACCAUGUCUGUCCUUUUAUAGUUUUAAUCCUAUAAUAUCUUUCCAUUAAUCAUCAUUAUCACUCUUCAACCUUCAUAUCAAGUGUAUUGAUUUCAUACUUCAUCAGCUAGACAUAAUAAAAUCUCAAUAAUCUUUUAUACUGUCAACAUUUAUAAAAAAUAUUUCCUUCAAUAAUAUUUGUACUUUCUAGCAUAUAGAAUACUUAAUGGAUUCUUCUGUGAUUUUUCUUUCCUAAAGUACAAUUGAUAUUUUAACAGAUGCCGAAAGGUCUUGAAUAUGAGGCUGUUUCGAAAUGAAAAUUGGGGUAAAGCAUUUUCAAGUUAACAAGUUUUGUUGGGUGAGUGAGUGAUCAGUGCUAGCAUUUUCAAUCUCAGUUAUAGAAUGUAAAGAUUUACACAUUUAUUUGCUGAUUAAUAAUUUAUUUAUUGAAUUAAAUGUUUUAACAGUGAGUAUGGAUUCUUGAAUGAAUGUAAUCAUGGUGUAGAAUGUACAUAGUACAUAUAGUGAGUUGGAUUGAAAUGUUGAACACGUUUUCCUCUGCAAAGAUUCAGGAUAUUUAUGAACUUGCUAUAAAUUGUUUUAACUUUUCUCUGCAACUCUCAGUCCCUUUGUUUCUACCAUUUUGUUUUUGAAAAGCCUUUCAAUUUUCUCAAAAUAUCUUUCACUGCUGUGUUCUGUCAGAUACGAAACAUUGAGUCAAUGGAAGAGUCAACAAUUCGUAGAAUAUUAUAUUAUGGUGUCAAUAUUUAAUAAAUUUAUUUAUUUCUUUAACAUAUUUUAGAAAAUAACCAGUAAACAUAAAACUUUUAGUAUGACUAAAAGAAUAAAGAUAGUGUAAGAAUAACAGGAAUAACAUUACUACAAAUAACAAUAUAUUAAUAUUAAUAUGUUUCUUAAUAAAUUUUACACCCACUGUCUAUUUAUAAAUUAAUAUAUUAUAAACAUCUAUUGAUUUUUUGUGGGUAGCUUAUUUCUGUAACAUUUUAAAUUAAUUUUUUAGAUUUUACAAAACAUUACAUUUUGAUUAUAAUAUUUAGGACUGUGAUGCAAUUUCUGCAAUGAAGGCUGGCAGACUAAGUUUCUCCAAGCCCAAUUAAUACUGGGUUGAAAAUUCUGAGAAGAGGGUGAGUAUGAUGCUGCGGUCAUGAUCUAUGUAUUAAAGUGUUAAGGCAUGGGUUUGGUUGACAGGACAAUACUGGUUUUUCAUUGCUACUACUUAAUAUGAUUCUUUCUUACUGCUAUAUGAAUUUGCUGUCAAAUAGCAGUAAAUAAAAGACUUCAAAUAAAGCAUGUGUUUAUCAUACAUGGACUAAUGCAGCAGUUUUAGUAGAAGGGGCUAAUAUGAUUUUAAUCUAGAACAAGAUGGCUAAACCCAAAGAUGGUGGGAAUAAUAUCCUCAAAUCAAUUGUUUUGGUUUUCAGUGUAAUGUCAUUUGUAAGUAUCAAAAUUUGUUUGUUAUCACAUUGGAAGGUAGUAUCUGUCAUGAAAUUUGUGGAAGACCUUUACCUAUGUUUGCUUUGGGUCUGUUUUACGCCCUCUCGAAUUAAGUAAAUUUUUAAUUGCCAUCAUGAAAUUAGGCUAAAUAUGUGUAGUUUUGAGCACUUUCUUUCUUCCAUUUCAAUUCAUAGUUUCAUACAUAUUCAAUAUCAUGUGGGAAUUAAGUUCUUGCUUUUAAGGUGAAUAACAGUUUGUAUUCUUGCAGAAAACUAUUUUCUAAUGCAUAUAAAUUUCAUUUUCUAUUUUCAGCAUUGGAUUAUGUUAUGUAAUUUUUCCUUUGUAUUAUACAGAGUAGGAUUUUAAUGUUUCUACUGAACAGUGCUAUCUUUUUUCGUCCAUAUUCUGAUUUUGUUCAAUUUUUUUCAGUAUGUGCCACAUGCAGAUCAGAUGUAAGGAAUUUUCUAAAUUUUUUUUCAAGCUUUCUUGUUUGCUUAAAGUUUUCUGUAAGUAUUUAACUGUCUUAAGUUGUUAAUGAGGACUAAGGACUGAAAAAGAGAAUUAGCCAUGACAUGGUGGCAUUAUCCUUCUUCAAAACCAUUAGUUUUUUUUCCUACAAAGAUACAUGUCAAGAAAGCAAACCAGGAACAAAAGUGAUGUUUAUGAUUGCUUUCUCUCUUGUUUACUUGCUUUCUUUUUGUUGGACAAUUGUCUUAAUUGCAUUCACACCUAACCUGCAGUAGUUUCAGUCCCUUUGGGGUUGUCAUAAUUGCAGCCUCAAGAGUGGUGGUGUAGUCCAACAUCAACCAGUGAUAUAGUUCAAAUAUAGCAUAUACAUGAAAGUCGUGUUGAUAAUCAAAGGUUGCUUCAUCUUAACUAAUAACAUGUAAAUGUCAUUUGAAUGGUUAAAAAGGAAUUCACCAGUGUAACACAAAAUGAAUGGAUUGCUUGGUUAUGUGUCAACUGUUGUACUUUUUUUGAGUUGCUUGAAAAUAAUUAAAAUUUGUUUUCAUCUAGAUCUUGGUUUUUUCCUAUGAUCAAAUCUCGAUUUAUUUCUGUGCAGAACUUUCUUGUGGACAUAAAAGGACCAGCUAUAGCAUUUUUACCGGUGCUUGCAUUUGAAGGAGGAACUAGAAGAAAUAUACCUAGGUUUGAGGUGUGUAUAAAUUAUUUUUGAUGUAUUUCGUGAUGUAGAUGUAAAAUAAUGCAAUACUUUGUUUUUAGUUUCAAUGUUACUCUUUAUCUGCAGGUUGGAAACAUAUCUUGAUGAAAUAUAGAAACAUUUUUAUUCAUAAUAUAUAUAUAAGGAUUACACAUUCAUAAUUAUUUCUUUCUGUCGUAGCAUUGUCUACCUCAAAUCACUGCAACUUUCUGUUGUUGGUAUAAAAAUACAAUAUUUUAAUCCCAGUUUUGAUAGCCUCUAUUCUUCAGUGGUUGAGAUAUUUUUUAUAAGAAUUUAGAAGUUCUGAGAUAUUUAUGAUAAGAAUUUCAAGUUCUUUGUUACUAGCAGUUUAAUGGUUAUAUCAUUUUUGUUCUCUGGAAAAUAUCUUAUACAAAAUCGGUACUUAGAUUUGGUAUUUAUAUUGUUCAUAUGUAGAAAUCUAAUACUAGCAAAUUUUGUCUAAUUUAAAAGCAAUUACAUUCUACUCUUUGGAAUAUGUUCUGGCCUGCUUUUAUGAAUUAUUUGAAAAUUUGUAAUUAUAAAAUUUAGUCUUUGAAAUUAUAAAUUUAAUAGAGAAGCAUCCAUACUAAACUUUUAUAUUAUAAAUUGUCAGUUUUAUAUUGAAAACAUAUCCCCUUUAGUAUAAGACUUAAAGGAGAUGUCUUUUGGUAUAAAAACUGAAAUAAAAAAUAUUUUAACUAUAUGGGUCAAAUGGAUGAUUAAACUUAUAAAAUGUACAAUUAAACUUAUAAAUUAUAAUAAACGAUACUUUAAUUUUAAACUAUAUUGAACUUUUAUUAAUGUUCUCGCUUUUCUUUAAAAGCUAUUGAACUCUAUCUAACAAUAACUUAAAAAUGAGAAAUUCAUGAUAAAAUUUCAACACUUGUAAUCUAGAAGUAUUACGAUAAGCCAGAAGAGGAAGAGACUAGUUGACUGGGUAGCUUUCGGCGUUCCUCUUCCUAUCUUCCCCUGUUUCUCCUGAAGAGUGUGCAACAUUGCUUCCACUGAAUUCUUCAAUGUCAUUUUCUGAUGCAGAAUAGUCAACAGCACCACCAUAUUUAUCAUCUUUCUUUUUCGUAUAAAGAGGGCAUAUGCCGCAUUCUUUUAUUCUGAUACCUGAUUUCAACUCUCUCUCAACUGAUUCGUAAUCUGGCCGAUUUGGCCGCAGAAAGGGAUCAUACGGACUGAUCUCAAAAGUGAAGCUGCGAGCAUCACACAGCCUAAGGCUCAUGCCGCUCGCCAUUAGGGACUCCAAGUUAAAUUUCCACACGAAUGUCCCUUCACCAUCCCAUUUGAAAUAGCUAUUUAACACACCCUUAUAUGGAAUGAUCUGUGUGCCAUCAUCAUAUUCAAAUUUUAGGCUGUAACGAAAAGAACCAUAUCCACCUUUAAUAUCUAACACUCCAAAAGCUACACACAAAGCGAAACCAGUGAGCCUAUCAUCGCUGCAGAAACUUAAAUCUUCAUUUAUAGUCACUGAAUGUCCCUUCCCACGAAAAUUGAACCAACCAGGAACUGCACUCCCUGGAAAACAGAACAACACACACCUAUAUGUAUCGUCGAUCAUCCUAAGCCUUGCAUCCUCCUCGAUGUUAGCACGAGCACCUGAAUCCAGUUGUUGAGCAUUGGUGAAAUGAUAUUUGAAGACACCCUCUUUGGAAUUUGACAAGUUUGGAACAAGAGAAUUUGACAUCACUCUUCUAAUGGAUGGGCAAUCCAAUGCCUCGAGUUGUUCUAGAAAUGGUGGAAUCGGUGGAAUGCAUUCAAGCUUUUUGCAGUCGCUUAAAUCAAGUGAUUUCAGGCUUGAAAGAUGAGCAAUGCUCUCAGGAAGGUUCACGAUUCCGCUAUCACGCAGUGACAGUUCCAUUAAUGACGUCAAGCGACCGAUGUGUCUUGGGAUUUCUGUUAAUUUGGCACACCCCGAACAAUCAAGUUUAGAGAGAAGCUUCAUAUUAACAAUGGAGUUUGGAAGUGACUCGAGAUAAGUGCACUCUUGGAGUUCCAGGGAUCGAAGAUUAACCAAAUUGCCAAAUGAGGAAGGCAGUUCUUUAACAGCCGUACAUGUCAAGUCAAUAUGAGCAAAAGUAUGAGCCGGCUUCAUGAUCUCUGGGAAGGUCCUCAGCCUUGAGCAACCACCCAAAUCAAGCUUCCUCAAUUUCAAAUUGAAAAUGGUGCUUGGAAAAGUUUGAAGUGAAUUACAGUAGGUAAGGUGUAACUUGCAUAGUCUGGUGAGGCUUCCAAUGGAAGAUGGAAUAAUCUCAAGAUUCAAGCAACUGUGCGAACUCAGUUGUUGAAGCCCUACCAAACGGCACAAGGAUGAAAACUUAUUUUAUUUUUGCUGUUCAUGCAUAACAUUAACAAAUAUUGACAUGAGAGAUUGUGUUUGUAGGCUUCUAAGCUCACCAACGUGUCCCGUUCUUGAUGCUUUAGGGAAGAAAAUUUCCUUUGAGAUUGCAAAAGGACUCAGGAGAAUUUAGAAGUUCUGAGAUAUUUAUGAUAAGAAUUCAAGUUCUUUGUUACUAGCAGUUUAAUGGUUAUAUCAUUUUUGUUCUCUGGAAAAUAUCUGAUACAAAAUUGGUACUUAGAUUUGGUAUUUAUAUUGUUCAUAUGUAGAAAUCUAAUACUAUAGCAAAUUUUAUCUAAUUUAGAAGCAAUUAUAUUCUACUCUUUGGAAUAUGUUCUGGCCUGCUUUUAUGAUUGUAAUUAUAAAUUUAAUAGAGGAGAUUACCAAACAUCCAUACUAAUUAAACUUUUAUAUUAUAAAUUUUUUCAGUUUUAUAUUGAAAACAUAUCCCUUUAGUAUAAGACUUAAAGGAGAUGUCUUUUGGUAUAAAAACUGAAAUAAAAAAUCUUUUAACUAUAUGGGUCAAAUGGAUGAUUAAACUUAUAAAUGUACAAUUAAACUUAUAAAUUGUAAUAAACGAUACUUUAAUUUUAAACUCUAUUGAACUUUUUUUAAUGUUCUCGCUUUUCUUUUAAAUGCAUUUCACUUGUGUGUUUUGUAUUCAGGCUGAUUUUAACUUUAUUCUCAAAUAUACAAAAUAAUUUUUGGUAAUUAUCUUGUGUCGAUCUUGACUUGUAGUAUCAAUGUGAAAUAUGUAAUAAUUACUUUUCUAUGAUUCAGAGGGAAAAUUAUUCCAACUAGACUUUUACAAAUAUAUUUCAAGUGGUAAUAUGAUUUUAAAAAAAAUAGGAUUCGCCACAAAAAAAAGUUACUGUUCCUAAUUGACAUGGUGCUGUCAAAAUUAUUUAAUUACAAUUUAGAUCUUCACUCUACAUAUAAUUAAUUAAUUACCAAUUAUUUAAAAGACUAGUAAAUUAUAAUUUUAAUCUCUCUACAACUUUCUAAAUUUAGUUAUGAUUCUCUCAAAAAAAUUUCCCUUAAAUAUUAAUUAUAAUUACCUUUAGACAGAAACAUUUCUAAUUUAAACAAGCAAAAAUAAGAAAAAAAAAUAGAUUACAAAAACUAAAUUUGAAUUUUUUUAUAUAACUCCAAAUAUAUUUUAUCCAUAAAUAAAUUCUAUUAAUAUUUCAUUUCUGUUUAAAUAGUUUAUUCAUAUUUGUAAUAUUAUUUUCAAAAAACAAUAAUUGUUUUUUGAAUAAAGGUUUACAAAUUCUAUAAUAAUGUAAAUGAGAAGAGGAGUGAGGGUAAAAAUAUGAGAACCUAUGUGAGGGAAUCUUGUGACAAUUUAGCUGGUGUUCAACUUGUGAGAAGUCUUUCAACUUGGUUUUCAAGUUUUAUAUUCAAUUUCUGUUCCUUCAAAUGUUUCUGAUUUUACAGCUCCUCAGGAUUUUACAGCUCCAUGCACAAACCUAAUACAAUGAUAUGAUAUUCAAUCAGCAUUAAUUAGCAUAAACAGGUACCUUGUUGUAAAACUGGGAAUAUGAGAUUCCAUAGGAUGGAGAAAAGUAUGAAGAGGAAUUACCAAUCACCAUUUACCAAUCAUAAUGCCUUCACUACAAAUGCAACCCAAAUAUGCUAAAGAAGUUAAUGAAACUAUAUAUGAAGAGUUUCAAGAAGAUGCAACUCUGGGACAACAGAGCAACCCAUCUCAUGCUGAACACAAACAUCAAACUACAUCUAACAAUAAUUCAGAAAUCUUAAUCAACAAUUGAGCGAACCCACUCCUAAAAUGCCAUUGAGAAUGUAAAUAAAUCAAAAUACAUUAAAAACGAGAAAUUCUUAAUAAAAAUUCAACGUGUUGAACCUUGUAAUUUAGAAGUAUUAACGAGAAGCCAGUUUAGAUCCUCACCAAUGAAAGACUAUUUUACAGGUUAGCUUCCACUGGAUUCUUCAAUGUGAACAGCACCACCAUAUUUAUCAUCUUUCUUUUUGGAAUAAAGAGGGCAUAUGCCGCAUUCUUUUAUUGUCACAACUGACCACCCAAAGUCAUAAAGAGGACUGAUCUCAAAAGUGAAGCUGCGAGCAUCACACAGCCUAGGGCUUAGGGAUUCUAAGUUAAAUUUCCAGACGAAUGUGUGAUCUUUAUCAACAAAACUGUAUUCACCAUUCCAUUUGAAAUGUCUGUUUAACCUAUCAUUAUUUGGAAUGAUAUGUGUGCCAUCAUCAUCAGAUUCAAAUUUUAGGCUGUAACCAAAAGAACCAUAUCUACCUUUAACAGAAUUCGUAUCUAACACUCCAAAAACCACACACAAAGCGAAACCAGUGAGCCUAUCAUCGCUGCAGAAACUUAAAUCUUCAUUUAUAGUCACUGAAUGUCCCUUCCCACGAAAAUGGAACCAACCAGGAACUGUACUCCCUGGAAAACAGAAGAACACAGACCUAUAUCUAUCAUCGGUCAUCCUAAGCCUUGCAUCCUCCUCAAUGUUAGCACGACCACCUGAAUCCAGUUGUUGAGCAUUGGUGAAACGAAAUUUGAAGACACCCUCUUUGGAAUUUGACAAGUUUUGAACAAGAGAAUUUGGCAUCACUCUUCUAAUGGAUGGGCAAUCCAAUGCCACGAGUUGUUUUAGAAAUGGUGGAAUCUGUGGGAUGCAUUCAAGCUUUUUGCAGUCGCUUAAAUCAAGCGAUUUCAAGCUUGAAAGAUGAGCAAUGCUCUCAGGAAGGUUCACGAUUCCGCUAUCACGCAGUGACAGUUUCACUAAUGACGUCAAGCGACCGAUGUGUCUUGGGAUUUUUGUUAAUUUGGCACACCCCGAACAAUCAAGUUUAGAGAGUAGCUUCAGACUAACAAUGGAGUUUGGAAGUGACUCGAGAUCAGUGCAUUUGCGGAGCUCCAGGGAUCGAAGAUUAACGAAAUUGGCAAAUGAGGAAGGCAGUACUUUAACAGCCGUAUAUGAUAAGUCAAUGCGAGCAAAAGUAGGAGCCCGCUCCGUGAUAUCUGGGAAGGUACUCAGGCUUGAGCAACCACACAAAUCAAGCUUGCUCAAUUUCAAAUUGAAAAUGCUGCUUGGAAAAGUCUGAAGUGAAUUACAGCGGGUGAGGUGUAACUUGCAUAGUCUGGUGAGGCUUCCAAUGGAAGAUGGAAUAAUCUGAAGAUUGAAGCAACUGCGCAAACUCAGUUCUUCAAGCCCUAUCAAACGGCACAAGGAUGAAGGUAGUGCCUGUAUGGCUGUGGCGUCUAAGAUGAGCACCGCUAGAUCUUCCAACGUGUCCUGAAUCUCGGGUAAAUUUUCCAAUUUUGAGCAACCACGGAGAGAAAGUUGAUUUAUGAAUUUCAUAUCAGAAAGGUCAAUUGGAAAGAUUGUAAGAGAAGAACAGUGAGAGAGAUCUAUGUGAGAGAGCUUCUUGCCACUAAAUUGUAAGGGCACACCUUCGUAGUCUUCUGAGUAUUCUGAGUCUGUAGCAUUAUUAGCAUUUAUCUCUUUCAUCAUAUCCGGUUCCUGACGCUCCAGUAUGACAUGAGGGAGAAAUUUAUCUUCAUGUUCACCCAAUGAAAACAUAUUAAGCUUCUCACAACCGGAAACACUAAUCCAUCCUGGUGAUGUGGAUAAAAUGUUGCUGGGAAUAUUUACACUUUUGAGAUUAGAACAAUGAUCUAAACAUAAACAACUGAGCUUGGUGAGGAAUAUCGAAGAGUGAACUUCAAUCAACUUUGAACAAUAACUCAGCUUUAUUUCUUCAAUAUUCGGUGACAGAGAAAGGUCUGGUAUUCUAGUAAGUUCCCAAGAUUUAACCAGGUCGAGCCUUUUCAAGUUGGGUAAAUUCUGCCAGAAAUAGUAAAUGAAUGAGGUAACAAAUAAAAACUACUUUAUCUAUUUUUCUUCCUAUUUAAACUAUUAGCUACUAUCUAUUGAGUUUAUAUUUUACAUUACUUAAAAACCACUGUUAAAAAAACCACACUGUGGACUAACAAAACUCUGCCUAUAAAUUUUAUAGUUAUUAUAAAAAAUCACAAAAUUUAACGUCUUUUUGUUCCCUACCUAAAAUUACAUCCUAAUCAUUUGAACCUAAACUUAUUAUGUAUUCAAAAACUUAUGAUAGUAAUUUAUAAUCGAUCACAAUGUCAAAAUACUUUAUAUUAUACAUGUAUCAACUCACAAAAUAAAUGGUGUUGUCUCAGAUUUAAAAUUAAACCUUAGUUAAAAAGUCCAUCUUUCCAUAAUUUAUUUUAUUAAAUACAUAAUUUGUAAUUUAUUGUAUAUUAUAUUCAAGUUUAUGUUAUGAUAAAAAAAGUAUCUAAGGCAUUUUUAAUUAAAUAAUAUAAAAUAAACAACAUGAACUCAAUUAAAUAAUAUAAAUUUUUUUGAAUACUCGAUGGAAUAAAAAAAUUAAUAAAACCCUCAAUUUGAAAAUAACCAAAUUUAUAAGAUACUUAAAACUUAAUUAAACCUACAAAUUUUCAUUAUAUGGAAUUAAAUAUUGUAAAGAUUUACCACAUAAGUUUCAUAAGUAGAAGGUUUAAACAUAAAAUUCUUCACGUUGGGAGUUUCUUUCCUCUAUCUUAUAAGUUUUCGUUGUUUCUUUAAUAUUUUUUAUAUGGCUUCUGUCAAUGUAAUUUUUUUUUUGGUUUUAAAAUAUUAUUAAAGAUAAAAUAUGAAGACAGGGUAAUUAAAUUAAAUAUAAUUUUUAUUUUUCAGAAAUGAUGAAAAUUAUAAUUAAAUUAACUAAAUUAUAUAAAAUUCCAUUUUAUUUACAUAACUCAUUUUCAUAUUAAAAAACUAUAUAAGAUCUUCCAAAGUAGAUAUAAUACAUUCACGGGCCAUUAGAUGAUAUGCCUAAAAAAAUAUGCAAACUAUUAAAUUUAUAAUUAUCUUUAAUUAGAAACAUGCUGAGUAUGACUCAAAUAAAAGAAAUUUCAAAUCGAAUAAUGUCGAGAAGGCACAAAGGAAUUGCAAAUGAAAACUUGUAUAUGUAUAAUACAGAAAACAUGCUUGUAUAAUUUAUUUUUAUCUUUGAAAGUUUAGAACACAAAGGAACAUAGAUAGCUUGAAAAACCUGAUCUCCUUCCCAGAGUUGUUCAAGAUGGCAGAAUGGCAUUUCGAGGGUCACUAGAUUUUGUGGGCAAAAGUUUGGAGGCCAAAAUCUUUGAGGGAAAUGUGUCCAAUAAAGAAUCUUUAGAGUGUCUGGCAUAUCCACAAGAGGUGAUUCAAAAGACACUUUUAAUUCCAAUCCCCACGUGUAGAGCCUAAGCACCCUAAGAUUGUUCAUCUUUUCGAAACUUUGUGCAUGUACUACAACUUCUUUUACUUUGAAAGUAGAUAGUGAUAUACACUCUAUUGAAGUAGAUAGUGAUAUACACUCUAUUGCAUCUGACCCCUGAAAGUAAAUCAUGAAAUGUUGCAUUGCAGGAUGUUUGAUGACAGCUCAGUGGUUUGCAAUUUUUCACAAAGUAAAUCCAUUCUCAAUUGAGUAACGACAUAAUACCUUGUUCUUUCUUAAAACCUCUCAAAUUUCCUCAGCAUUAAACAAUCGGCUGCGUUUUCCAGGAUGCUGAGGACACUCUUUACGAACAAUUUCUUUACCCAUUUCUUGUAUUAGAUCGUGCAUCACAAUUCUACCAUGAAAGACAGAUAUUAGGCCCCUAUCUUUGAGAAUAUCCAUUCCAAUCUUGGAAGAGAAACCACAGUCAGCAAGUAUUUCUGCUACCACAAUCUCUUGUGACCUAUAUAAAAGCAAGCUAUGUCAAGAAAUAUAUUCUUCUCCUCCUCCUCGAGCCCAUCAUAACUUAAUUUUAAUACAUUGAAAAUACCAAGAUGUUGGCCCUUUUCCAACUUUUGCAACUGACUCUCCCAUGCUUCUCUUGUUCUUCCAUAAAGCAAUGACCCCAAAAUCUGGAGAGCUAAUGGAAUCCCUUUUGCAUAUCUCAACACCUUUUCUGACAGUUCCCUGUAAGCAAUUUCUUCUGAAGAUUUUUGUUUAAAAGCAAGUAAACUAAAAAGUUUCUGAGAAUCAUCAAAAUUCAACUCCUUAACUUCGUAGAUAUCAUCAGCUCUAGCAUUCUUAAGCACUUGUUUGUCUCUACUGGUGAUAAUGAUUCUACUGCCCUGCCCAAAACUAUCACUCCCUCUUAUUAAUUUUUGAAGUUGAGCUGAAUCGGUAACAUCAGUUAGAAGUGGAACACGUUUGUAGAAGUGGAACACGUUAGUUGGUUAGUUGCCUUAAGAAGCGGAUCAUGUAUUUUUUCUUGAACGUCUAAAACAAGGCUGCUGGAAUCAAACUGCAAUUCCAAUUUGUGAUAUAUUUGAUCACAAAUUGUAGUUUUUCCUAUUCCUCCCAUGCCACAAAUGCCUAUGAUCCGAACAUCCGGUAAGUCAAGAUGCAACAAGGACUGAAUUCCUUCAAUAUUUUUUUCAAUGCCGAUGAUUCCUUGAUCAUAACUGAUGGAAUAACGAUUCAAUUUUCUCAAAAUAUCUCCCACAAUUCCUUCAACAAGUGUGUGUUCUGACCUGGCAGAUGAUUUAGAAAAUAAAGUAUAAGUAUUCAUGCACAAAAGCUAAAACAAAACUAAAGAAAAAUUCAGAGUCAAGAAGAGUGAACAUCAUUGAAUAGAUUCACAUAUUGAUUGUAGGACGUUAUCUUCGAAUAUUAGUGUGGUUGGUUUAGAAAUUGCAAAUCAAGAUCGCAGAAAUUCUACAGUAACCGGUAGUGACUUCUGAUACUAGGAAGCAGUCUUGUAGGUACAAAGUUAAGCUAUAAGAUGUGAUAUGGUUCAGAUCUAUGACCCACUACGAAAAAUGGAAAAAAGAAACACUUGAUUUAUGGUGAGAUGAACACAAUUUUAGUAAAUGAAAAGAGAUCCUGAUUAUCUAAUAAAUAUAAUGACCUGGUGACUUUUGAAUCCCAGCCUGAAAGUCCAGCAGCUUCGGUGAGAGCAUCCUUCCAUCCUUGCACUUUGUCGUGCUUAAAGUGCUGCUCAUGCUCAUCGAAUGCUUCUUUGUAUCUUUCUUCCUGCUUCCUAAUAGUUGACGGAUCCACCUUGUAGAAAACAGGUAUGACAUCCCUUCCAUAUCUCUUCUUGCAAUCAAGUAUCUUAGUGAGUUCAUUCAAGCACCAAGUGGAAGAUGCAUAGUUUUGGGAGAAAACGACGAUAUAAAUCUUCGAUUCUUCUAUUGCAGAGAGCAGUGCAGAUGAAAUUUCUUCGCCCCGGGGUAGUGUCUCAUCAAUAUAUGCUUCUAUGUUCUUCCUUUGCAGUGCUGGAUGAAGGUGGCUAAUGAAGUUGUCACGUGUGUCUUCCCCUCUGAAGCUGAGAAACACAUCAUGCUUUGUUAGAGAAGUGGACACGGGGAAUGAUGAAGAACUUCCUGUUUAAUUUCUUCGCCCCUGUUUAAUCUGUAAUCAAUAUAUGCUUCAAUGUUCUUCCUCUGCAGCGCUGCAUAAAGGUGACUAAUGAAGUUGUCACGUGUGUCUUCCCCUCUGAAGCUGAGAAACACAUCAUGCUUGGUUAGAGAAGCAGACAUGGCCAAUGAUGAAGGGUUUCAAUUUUCUCUGCAACUCUCAGAUCCCUUUGUUUGUAAGCAACUUGCAUAUAUUCUAUUUCUAUCACAAAUCAACUUUUGGAAAAGCCUUCAAUUCAAAAUAUGCUUCACAGCUUUAUAUUAACGUGCCUAGCUUUAUACCAUUCUUACGCAUUGGUAAAGAUUCUUCAAUAUCUUUACUCAAUUUGUUUCUUCAAUACCUUUUACACAUUCUUACGCAUUGGUAAAGAUUCUUCAAUAUCUUUACUCAAUUUGUUUCUUCAAUACCUUUUACAUAUAAAGAAUCGGAUUUGUUUAAUAUAUUUUAGAAAAUAACCAGUAAACAGAAAACUAGGUUAAUAUGACUAAAUGAAUAAAGAUAGUACUCAUAAAAAAUAUUUUAGAUUACAAGUGGUAUAACUAAAAUAAAAUAUUUUAUUUUUAAAAUAAAAUUUAUAAAUAAAUAAAAAAAUAUAAUUGUUUAGUUUUCGGUGUAAAACAAUAUUCAUUUUUAUAAAAAAAAAUCUUUUCUCUUUUAUUUUAUUUUUAUAUUUCUAAUUAGAGUAUUCUUGAGUUUGACAAUAGAAUCCUUUCUUUGGACUUUUGGAAUUAAAUAAAGAUGUUAAUUGAAAAAAAAAAUUGAAAUAGAAACUAAUUUAGAAACCAAAUUUCUUUUUAGUUUCUAAAAUGGUCUCUAAUUUAGUUACUAUUGCAACUAAUUGUUUUGGUUUCUAGAAAUUGGUUUCUAUUUCAUGAUUUUCUUGUAGUGUAUACUGAAGGUGUGCACCCCUAUGAAAUGUUUUUAUUUCUAGUUGAUGUGUGAUUUCCAAUAAUUAUAUAAAUUGAUUGUUAUAUGCAGUGUGAAGUUUAACCUUGAUUUUUACUUGAAAAAAUGGAUUUUAAUAUGAGGUAUGCAUGCUCUCAUACUCAAAUUCAAUAAGCGGAAUUUUCACAUGUCAAUAGAAUUUGAACCUGCAUAGUUUUGGGCACUCUCCACCUCAAAUUCGCUCAAUGUUUUUUCCUGCGUUUAAGCGAAAUUACAUGCAGAUUUUGGAGUACUUUCGGGCUUAAAAUUGCUCAAAGAAAUUUCCCUAUGGCAAGCAAAUUUAAGCUACAAUUGUUUGGGUGUUCUUUGCCUCAAAUUCGUUGCCUCAAAUUCGUUCAGCGAAGAUUUCUCUGGGCUUAAGCCCCAACUUCAUGGGCUCGAGCCAUUUUGACAACAUUUGUCAUCUUUGCUUAGAUAUCUUUUGGUUUGUUUUCUAUAGGUCAUGAAAUUGAAUUAAAUCUUUUGAAAUUUAACAUGUGUUUAAAAUAAGUAAAUCUAACAUUUAUAAUCAUGCAACAUGUGUUUAAUUUAUAAAAAAAAUAUAAAACAAAUACUCAUUAUAUAUUCAAUUGAUAUGUAAAAUUUUAAAUAUUAUGUGAUUAUUGUUGAUAUUUUGUAACGGUUUUAAAAAUAUAAACUUCUAUAUGAUUGAAUGAUAUAUUAUCGAUACAUAGUAAUUUCAAGUAAGGAAAUACUUUGUUAAGGAUAGUUAGGAUGUGUCUUGAUUAGUAAUACAUUUAGAAUAAGAUAUUUGACUCUAUUCACAUAUUAAGGUGGUGACAGUCAAAUGAGAUUUAUAUGAUUUGAUCUACAAUAUAAAAAAUCAUAAUCUAACAUGCCAUAUGAAUUAACCUUGUCAUAUUAGGUGAUUCUAUUAUGAUAUUCUUAUUCGCAUAGAUGUGUGAAUUUCACAAUGGGGUAUUAUAACAUGUGCAAAUUUUUUAGUCUAAAUCAAUGUACGAUUCUUUCAGAAAUAGGGUCAAGUGUACAUGUGGAUCUAAUUAGAUUUUUGACAUGAGUAAUAUGGAACACAAGUCAUUUAGAGACACUUAAUUGUUUAAUAUAUUAGGAAUGAAUGAAGUGUGAUUAUUCAUAUGAUUAUGAUUGAAUGAUUCAAAUAUAAAUUUUAAAAAUCAUUAACUUAGCCUAAUUUCUUGUUAGUAUCAUUUUUUUGUUAGUAUCGUUUUUUUUUUAGAUUUGUUAUGAUCGUGAGUUACAUGUGAACAUAUGAUGUUGUAUGUUAUAGGCCUCAAAAUUGAAAAUGAGAGAGUUUUUUCUUUUAAUUCUUUUGAUGUUUUAUUUUGAUGUAUAUAUUUGAUUAUGAUAUAAUAAUAUUACAAUGUAAAUGUUAUUUAUAUACUAUCACAUGGUAAAUUAAAAUUUAAUAAGGUAGUUAAGGAUGUUAUAAUUAUUCUUUUAAUUUAUUUUAUUUCACUGUAUAUUUAGGUGUAUUACGUAAAAUGUAUAGUUAAAAAAAAUAAUGUUAUUUUGAAAUUUAAGCUUUUGUUAAAAUUAUACCAUUUGAAAAGGAACACAGAACAAUCUUGACAAUUAUACUGACUUAGUACUUAUUUUAAUUUAUUAUAUUCAUGAGUAUUAUUUUUUUCUUAAACAUAAAUAUUGGAUAAAAAAUAUAAAUAACAUUUAUUUAUUUCAAAUUUAAAAAUCUUUAAAAUAAAUAUAAAUAAUAUUUUUAAUCAAGAUGUGUUUUUUAACAAUUUUUUUUAAUUUAAAAAUAAUUAAUUCGGACGAUGAUUAAAGAAAUAUUAACAAAUUAUUUCUGCGAUUAUAAUAAACCUUCAAUAAUUUUUGCACUUUCUAGCAUAUAGAAUAUGGAUCCUUUUGUGAUUUUUCUUUUCUAAAGUACAAUUGAUAUUUUAAAUGUUUUUCUAUUUAAUUUUCCUUUCUUAAUGCACAUAAAAAUUUCAGUGCACAAUUAUUACUCACCUUAAUUCAAAAUGGAAAUUAAAAUUCAAGAACCCUACUUAUAUAUUAAUAUUCAACGAUUUAAAAUAUUAGUAUGCAAAUUAAUCUUUCUUAAUAAUAUUUGUAACAAUUUUUAAUAAUUCAAUGUGAAAUAUGUAAUAAUUACUUUUCUAUGAUUCAGAGGGAAAAUUAUUCCAACUAGACUUUUACAAAUAUAUUUCAAGUGGUAAUAUGAUUUUAAACAAAAAUAGUAUUCUCCACAAAAAUAAAUAGUUACUGUUCCUAAUUAAACAAGUCACAUUCUUGAACAAAAUAUCAAAUAACAAGGAAUUAGACUAUGAAAUGAUGACCAAUUAUAUUAAACAACAUAACAUACAUUUCUCAAUGUACACAAGGUAUAAAUAAUACAAUAUCAUCCAAAACCUGUGUUCACUAUGUAAAUAAACCAUUUUUUUUGCCAUUACCUCUUUCAUGAUGAUGAUUUGUUUACUAGGGAUUGCAAUGAUAGGUCAUGAUCAAAACUUAGGCCUAAGACUAAAAAUAGAAUGAAAUGAGCAUGAAAAUAAAGAUAACUUUUGAGUGAGACACAUUCUUCCUUACAAGCAGCAAGUUCUUCCAGGUUAUCUUCUCUUCCUUCAACCGUAGCUGUGCAACCGCCUGUUGUUCAUUGCCACCAAUAUCUCUAGUGCCAAAACUAUGUUUUCCAAAAUUAGAGUUAUAUGGCUUUAUCUGUGAAGUCUUACCAGCCAUAAUGUUUUAUUUUACUGUUUUGUUGUAAUCAUGCCAAUAGAUAAAUCGUGGAUUUGUAAACCACGAAACACCAUUGAGUAUGCAAAUGGGUUGAAUGUGUUUUUGGAUAUUGCAUUUCAACAUGCUAAUGGUCCUGUAAUUAAGUGUCCAUGUGCAAAGUGUGGUUUCAAAAAGUGACAAACAAGGGAUGUAAUCCAAGAACACUUAACAUUUACAACUUUCCCUCAGAACUACAAAACUUGGUAUUUGCACGGUGAAAGACCAAGUGUAAUUGAGCCUAUGGUCACUACAAGUGUGCAUGUCAUUGAAGAUUUAUUUGAAUCUCAAAAUACAAUGGAAGACAUGUUGAAUGAUGCAUUCGAGUUUGCGGGACAUGAUGAGGAUACUGAAGUUGAUGGUUUGCAAACUAAUAUGGUGGGUGAUGAAGGAAUAUGAACUUUGAUGAAUUGAUGAGGGACAAUAAUGAACCCUUAUAUGAAGGUUGUACAAAGCAUUCGAAGUUAUCAUUCAUGUUGAAGUUGUACCAUAUCAAAUGCAUGAGUAGAAUGAGUGACAAAGCAAUGACCAUGAUUCUAGACUUGCUAAUGAACACAUUUGAACAUGCUAAGUUUCCUAACUUGUUUUAUGAGGCGAAGACUGUGAUUACCAAACUUGGACUUAAUUAUGUCAAAAUACCAGCUUGCCCAAAAGACUGAAUGCUAUAUUGGGGCGAAGACAAUGAAGGCUUAGAAGAAUGUAAACGGUUCAAAACGUCUAAGUGCAAAAAAAAAAAAAGAUAAGAAGCAAUUGCAUUACUUUCCAUUAAAACUGUGAUUGCAAAGAUUGUUUAUGAGUUCUAAGAUGAUUGAGUCUAUGACAAGGCAUGCAUCAAAGGAUAAUCAAGAUGGAUUGAUGAGGCAUCCUAGAGAUUCUGAGGCUUGCAAAUCAUUUUAUUGCAUCCAGAAUUUGUAAAUGACCAUUGAAAUGUACGAUUAGACUUAGCUGCUUAUGGCUUUAAUCCUUAUGAAAACAUGAGUAAAAACCAUAGUAUAUGACGAGUGGUUAUCAUCCCAACAAUCACCCUCCUUGGGAGUUAUGAAGCAAACAUCUUUUAUCCUCUACAUGAUAAUUUCUGGAAAACAAAUGGUAGAAAAUGACAUUGAUGUUUAUUUAAAACCACUUAUAAGCAAAUUGAAGGAGUUAAUAGUAUGAUCAUGUAAUUAUUAUUUAUAUACUAAAUAUUACGACAUAUAGUAAUUUAAAAUUUGAUAAGGUAGAUGAGGAUAUUAAAAUAUCUCUUUUAAUUUAUUUUAUUUUAUUGUAUAUUUAGGUGUAUUAUGUAAAAUAUAUAAUUAAAAAAAAUAAUGUUAUUUUAAAAUUUAAAGAAUCACGUAUAGAAAGAAACAUAUAACAAUCUUGACAAUUAUAUUCUGACUUAGAGAUACUUAUCUUAAUUUAUUAUAUUCAUGAGUAUUAUUUUUUUCUUAAACAUAGAUAUUGGAUAAAAAAUAUUAAUAAUAUUUAUUAUUUAAAUUUUAGAAAUAUUUAAAAUUAAAAUUAAAAUUAAAUAAUAUUUUUAAUUAAAAUAUGAAAAAAAUUCCUUAACAAUUUUUUUAAUUUCAAAAUAAUUAAUUCAGAGGAUGAUUGAAAAAAUAUUAACAAAUCAUUUCUGCGUUUAUAAUAAACCUUCAAUAAUAUUUGUACUUUCUAUCAUAUAGAAUACUUAAUGGAUCCUUUUGUGAUUUUUCUUUUCUAAAGUACAGUUGAUAUUUUAAAUGUUUUUCUAUUUAAUUUUCAUUUCUCAAUGACAAAUAAAAUGGUUCAGUGCACAAUUAAUUAUUCUCACCUUAGAUUUCAUUCAUCUCAUUCCAUUUCCACACUCAAAUCAUUCUCACAUUUUUUUCUACCUAUUUCACAAAGUUUUUGUUAAAAUAUGGAAAUUAAAGUUCAAGAACCCUACUUAUAUUUCAUAUUCAACAAUUUAAAAUAUUAAUAUGCAAAUUAAUAUUUCUUAAUAAUGUUAUUUUUAUGUAAAAAUUAAAAUGUAGUUUAGUCAUUCAUACUUAGAUGGAUAAAAAUGGUUUUAGAAAGAAAAAAAUAUGCAUUUUUUUGAAAGGUUAUCUAAACUCUAAACUCAUUGAUGAAUUAAUAAUAAUAAAUAAUAUGGAAUUCUAUACGAAUAGCAUAUAAAUGUUUUCUUGUUGAAACUGAUAAUUAAUUCAGUCUAGGGACAAUUAUCGCGGUAUUUGUUCUUUUAUUUUUAAUGUUUAAACAAUUAUAAAAUUCUGUUUUUAGAUAUUAAAAUGAUAGUUUUCAUUUACAGAUUAAAAUAUUACUUGUUUCUUUUAAGAUUUUUUGUAUUAUAAUUAUUUGUUGUCUGAAUUGUUUUGAUUUAACAUGUUGUUUUCUUGGGCUAUGAUAUUGUGAGGUUUUAUUACAUGCAGGUACGUGAAUAUUUUUUUUAUCCUAGUUGUAUAAAUCAGGAAAAUUGUUUUUCACAUUAUAAUAACCGUUUAACAACUCUAAAUAAUAAUAAAAUAUUAACUCAUAUUGUUUAAUUAAAGUAUAAAUUAAAUUAUUAAAUAAAAAAGUAGUAAAACUGGUUGCAGGAUGGGAAUAUGAUUAUUUUUAACUGCUAGCUCCUGAUUAUUCUUUUCUAAUAAAAAAAACACCAAUAGCAACAAAACAAGUUUUGACACACGUAGGUUUGGCAAUUGUUUUAAUAGCUGAAAAUAGUACAACAAUUUUUAAUUACCACAAACUGCAUCUUAAAUCAUAAAAAAUUAGCAUUUUGUUAGUUCAUAUAUAAUAAAAUUUCCAUAAAACAGCCAAUUGUAUUAAUUAUUAAUAAUGUAUUUACAAUUUUUUUAGAUAAUUUUUUUACUAUAAAGACAUUUAUUUGAGAUUGAAAUUGUAAUUAACACUUUUUGGUCAAAGAAUAAUAUAUUUCACUUGAUUUUUUGUAUUAAAUAUUUUGUAUAGCGCUGAGACAAAAAAAAAUCUCAUAUAAAUCCCUAUGUGCUACAAGUACAAUAUAACAUCCUUAAUGUAAGCAAUAAAAAUGAUGAAUACUCAAAGUCGUGUAAUUACGCAAAAGAAUCAAGUGAUUUUUAAAAGAACUCACAUGAUCAGUUUAAAUUUUGACGAUAAAAUACAUUAAUUAUAUAUAUUUAUUCAAAAUUUCAAUUAUAUUAUGCAUUAAUGGUUUUAUGCUUUUAGAGGAAUCAGAGAAACUUAGAAAAGCUCCUAAAAACUAAUGUAACCCUAUGAAUAGAAGAGAGCUAAAAGAAAGAGAAAAUGGAAGUGAGAAAAGAUGAUAAUUAAUAAACACGCUCUCUUCAUAACAUAGAGUCUUUAAACCUAUAUUCCCUCAAACAAUUAUAAAGAAUUAACAAUCACACUUUUAUAAGUCAUCACCCACAUGAAACAAAACAAGGUGCCUCAAUAUGAAUAAACCAAGAUUAAUAAGAAAUAUGAGGUUUCACUAACCAAGCUCAGAAUUUUCUGCUUUUAUAGCUCCAUGCACAAACCUAAUACAAUGAUAUGAUAUUCACUGCAAAUGCAACCCAAAUAUGCUAAAGAAGUUAAUGAAACCCAAAUAUAAAGAAUUUGAAGAGAAUGCAACUCUGGGACAACAGAGCACACCAUCUCAUGCUGAACAGAAACAUCAAACUAUAUCUAACAAUAACUAUACCUAUGUUUGCUUUGGGUCUGUUUUUAGUUUCAAUGUUACUCUUUAUCUGCAGGUUGGGAACAUAUCUUGAUGAAAUAUAGAAACAUUUUUAUUCAUAAUAUAUAUAAGGAUUACACAUUCAUAAUUAUUUCUUUCUGUCGUAGCAUUGUCUACCUCAAAUCACUGCAACUUUCUGUUGUUGGUAUUUGCAUAUCACGAUGGUUAUUGAGAAAUUUAGGAGUUUGCUGUUGUGUACCAGAAGUAAAAUAGAAGGUUCAUUUUUUGGUCAUCAUCAAUUAUUAAUGUAAAUAGAUAUAGGUGAAGGAGAUCAGUAUUAUGCAUUGUAUCAUGGACCAUUAGAAGACUAGGGUCACCAAUUGGAGGCAUUGGUAACUUUGGCUAGUAAAACUAAAACCAAAGUCCAUUUUUACAAAGCCUUGGUCUAAUUCACCUUAUAGCUGUACUUUUUCCUCCAUUUUAAUAAUAUUAAGUUUUCAUUUUCUAUGCAUAAUCUUGGGUAAUUUUCUUUUUAUAUCAAUGCUUGAAGUGUCAAAUUGUUACAAGCUGGAUUAUUAAGAAAGAAAAGAGUGCAUUCUGGAUGCUCGAAAGGGAGUGUUUCCUAGAAAAAAAAUGUGAUUUCAGGGUGUCCAGGCUCAGGUAGCAAUGGUAGGAGUUCCACAUUGAAAUGGAUGAACUACUUGAUUUAGUACUUUGGGACUCUCUCACCUAAUGGACUAGUAUUUUGGGUUAGCUUCUCUCCCCUUAAUGCUUAAGUCCUAAAAAACAGUUUUUCUGUUUCUAUUUAUCUUUUAGGGUGUGAUUAGGACCAUGAAGCAGUGGGUGUUUUUUCCAUUAAUGAACUUUGCCACUGCCACAGAUCACCUAGGUUAACCUAAUUAAGUCUUCUGAAUUGUAUUUUGUAAUUAAUUCUUGUAAAACAUGGAGUGUAAAAUUCAUGUACAUUUUUCUUUUCCUCUUUUGAUUUGGAUGUCAAACUAGCAACUUCAUGUUUUGUCUGGUUGGUCUAUCACAUUUAUGUAGGUUGUAAUCUAUUUUGCCUAAUGCAUCAGUUGCAGAUAGGUACUAAAUUAUCUUAGUUCGGAUACACCUUGCCAAUUAGAUUAAGAUCAAGAAUUUAAAGUGAAUGGUUCACUUCUGAGUUCUUAAAUGAGAUAAAAUGUUCAGAGAUACUAAAUCAUCGCCUUCAUUUGAAAAUUGGCGUGCCUAUUAUGCUUUUGAGAAAUAUUGAUCAAACCAACGGUCUUUGUAAUGGAACAAGGUUGCAAGUUAUUGAUUUGAAGAAAAUGUUAUUUGUGCAAUAGUUCUAACAGGAACAAAUAUUGGUGAUAAAAUCUUCAUUUCAAGAAUGAAUUUGAUCCCUUUAGAUGUAGGUAUGCCAUUCAAAUUCCAGAGAAGACAAUUUCCAAUAGCUUUAUGUUUUGCAAUGACAAUUAAGAAAAGCCAAGGUCAAUUAUUGACCAAAGUUGGUUUAUAUUUUUCACAUCCAAUUUUCACACAUCGAUAGUUGUAUGUAGCUAUUUAUAGAGUUCGAAAGAAAAAAGAUUUAAAAAUUCUAACUCUUGAUGAAGAUGGAAUGCAACAAACAAGAAAAAGAAAAUGUUUACACUGAAAUUUUUGACAAUAUUUGAAAACAAUAGAAUUAUAUGAUAAACUUGGAAUGGCUAAUUCUCCCUGCAACCAAUAUUUUUGAACCUGCAACUUUUAAAUUUUUGAAAAUGCUCUUUAUUCCAGAAAUGAAAAUAAUACAUUACAAAAAAAAUAGAUCCAAAAAAGAUUAUUGUGUUUUGGUAAUAAAAAUCGGAAAACAAAAAUCAAAAGCCCAUUAUGAAUAAGAAAAUUCGUAAUACAAAAAAUUUGGUCUUAAAAACAAAAUCUGAAAACAUAUUCCAGAAAGAAAAUCCGAAAUGUAUUUUUAUAUAUAACCCAUUUUUUCAAGGGAGUUUCGUCUUUUCUAUUGUAAAAGGGGUUGGAAUUUGCUCCCUUGGAAUUAUAGUUUCUUAUGUGUGAUGUAGUAACAGUUGCCUUAUUUAAAAUGUUACUAAAUAACAUAUAAUUUAUAUCUGUUAUUUUUAUUCUGUUAUGACUUUAUAUAUUUGUCACAACAUGAAUGAGGCACAAACCCAUCUCAUGUUAACGAAGUUGAGAAUUUUCUGAUUUUACAGGUCCAUGCAAAAAUCUAAUAUAAUGAUAUGAUAUUCAAUAUCAAGAGGUACUUGUCGUAAAACGGGGAAUAUGAGAGACUCCAUAGAAUGAAGAAAAAGUAUAAAGAGGAUUUACAAAUUAACCUUUCAAAUGCAGCUCCUCAGAAUUUCAUAAUGCCUUCACUGCAAAUGCAACCCAAAUAUGCUAAAGAAGUUAAUCAAACAAUACAUGAGGAGUUUCAAGAAAAUGCAACUCUGGAACAACAGAGCAACCCAUCUCAUGCUGAACAGAAACAUCAAACUAUAUCUAACUUAGAAAUCUUUGUCAACAAUUGAACGAACCCACUCCUUAAAUACCAUUGAAAAUGUAAAUAAAACAAAAUAAAUUAAAAACGAGAAAUUCAUAAUAAAAAUUAAACGUGUUGAACCCUGUAAUUUAGAAGUAUUAACGAUAAGGCAGUUUAGAUCCUCACCAAUGAAAGAGACUAGCUGACUAGGUAGCUUUCGGCCUUCCUCUUCCUAUCUUCCCUUGUUUCUCUUGAAGACUCUGCAAUAUUGCUUCCAUUGGAUUGUUCAAAGUCAACAGCACCACCAUAUUUAUCAUCUUUCUUUUUCGUAUAAAGAGGGCAUAUGCCGCAUUCCUUUAUUGUGAUACCUGAUUUCAACCGAAAGUGAUAAUCACACGGACUGAUAAGUGAAGCUGCGAGCAUCACAGAUUCUAAGGCUCAUGCCGCUCGCCCUUAGGAACUCCAAGUUAAAUUUCCACACGAAUGUGUGAUCUUGAUCAACACAUCUCUCUUCACCAUUCGAAAUAGCUGUUUAACACAUCUAUCAUCGCUGCAGAAACUUAAAUCUUCAUUUAUAGUCACUGAAUGUCCCUUCCCACGAAAAUGGAACCAACCAGGAACUGCAGUCCCUGGAAAACAGAAGAACACAGACCUAUAUCUAUCGUCGGUCAUCCUAAGCCUUGCAUCCUCCUCAAUGUUAGCACGACCACCUGAAUCCAGUUGCUGAGCAUUGGUGAAAUGAAAUUUGAAUACACCCUCUUUGGAAUUUGAGAGGUUUCGAACAAGAGAAUUUGGCAUCACUCUUCUAAUGGAUGGGCAAUCCAAUGCCACGAGUUGCUUUAGAAAUGGUGGAAUCUGUGGGAUGCAUUCAAGCUUUUUGCAGUCGCUUAAAUCAAGCGAUUUCAAGCUUGAAAGAUGAGCAAUGCUCUCAGGAAGGUUCACGAUUCCGCUAUCACGCAGUGAUAGUUCCAUUAAUAACGUCAAACGACCAAUGUGUCUUGGGAUUUCUGUUAAUUUGGAGCACCCCGAACAAUUUAGAGAGAAGCUUCAGAUUAACAAUGGAGUUUGAAAGUGACUCGAUAUCAGUGUAUUUCUGAAGCUCCAAGGAUCGAAGAUUAACGAAAUUGCAAAAUGAGGAAGGCAACUGCGCAAACUCAGUUGUUGAAGCCCUACCAAACGGCACAAGGAUGAAGGUAGUGCCUGUAUGGCUGUGGCGUCUAAGAUGAGCACCGCUAGAUCUUCCAACGUGUCCUGAAUCUGGGGUAAAUUUUCCAAUUUUGAGCAACCACGGAGAGAAAGUUGCUUUAGGAAUUUCAUAUCAGAAAGGUCAAAUGGAAAGAUUGUAAGGGAAGAACAGUAAGAGAGAUCUAAAUGACAGAGCUUCUUGCAACUAAAGUGUAAGGGCACACCUUUCAUGAAUUUUGUCAACACUUCUAAGUAUAUAGUAUUAUUAGCCACUUCUUCUUCUUCAUUAUAUCUGUCAAAAGUAAUUGAGGAAGUUGGGAAAAUAUGACCACUGUAUGCACGAGGUUCACCACGCCGUCCUGCACCAUGCCGUUCUGAGAAAUUUAUCUCUUUGAUCAUAUCCGGUUUCUGGCGAUGGAAUCUUGAGAAAGUUUGACGUUGACGCUCCACGCUCCAGUAUCACAUGAGGGAAUCUUGAGAAAUUUCCACGUUGAUGCCCCAGUUUCUGAUGUGGGUAUCUUGUGACGCUCCAGUUUCACAUGACGAAAUCUGGGUUCACUGGUUGAAAACAUAUUAAGCUUCCCACAACAGGAAAUAUUAAUCCAUCCUUGUAAUGUGGAUAAAAUGUUGCUGGGAAUAUUUAUACUAUUCAGAUCAUAACAAUUAUCUAAACAUAAAUAACUGAGCUUGCUGAGUAAUAUCGAAGAGUGAACUUUAAUCAACUUUCCACAAUAACUCAGAAUUAUUUCUUCAAUAUUUGGUAAGAGAGAAAAGUCUGGUAUUCUAGUAAGUUUCCGAGAACCACUCAGGUCAAGCCUUUUCAAGUUUGGUAAAUUCUGCCACAAAUAGUAAAUGAAUCAGGUAACAAAUAAAAACCACUGUUAAAAAAAUCACACUCUGAACUAACAAAACUGUGGCUAUUCACUAUCAACAAUCCCUCUCAAAUACACUUCUACUAAUACAUUAACAACAAUAUCAUUAUAUUAACCAUAAAAUAUUACAUUUCUUCAGUUAAUACGUAGGACAAUAUAAUAAUCAGGUCACUCAGCUAAUGAAAAAAAUUAAACAACAUGAACUCAAUUAAAUAAUAUAAAACUUUUGAGUACUAGAUAAAAUAAGAAAAUUAAUAAAAAUUCAAUUUGAAAAUAAUCAAAUUUAUAAGAUACUUAAAACUUAAUUAAACCUACAAAUUUUCAUUAUAUGGAGUUAAAUACUAUAAAUAUUUACCACAUAAGUAGAAUGUUUAAAUAUAUAUUUCUUCACGUUGGAAGUUUUUUUCCUCUAUCUUAUAAGUUUUCUUUGUUUCUUUAAUAUUUUUUAAGCCAAUGUGAUUUUUUUAAUAUAAAAUAUUAUUAAAGAUAAAAUAUGAAGAUAGGGUAAUUAAAUAUAAUUUUUUAUUUUUUAGAAAUGAUGAAAAUUAUAAUUAAAUUAACUAAAUUAUAUAAAAUUCUAUUUCAUUUACAUAACUACUUUUCAUAUUAAAAAAACUAUAUAAGAUCUUGAAACUAUAAUUAAUAUUUCUACUCAUUUUUCGUUUUUGUUGGUGAAAUCUUGAUUUUGGGAUAGUAUUAGUGAGAUAUUGUUUGGAGUUAAAAACAAGAAAUUCUUUUGCAUAAUCAAUUUGAACAGUUUUGAUUUUGAAACCAGAUUUUCAGAGAAGAGUUUAAAGCGUUCAAAUGCAGCAAGAGCUUGAGAUUUAGCAUGCUAGAGAUAAAUUCAUGUAUAUUUUAAAUAUGCAUUAGGAAAAGAGAUAUCGUAUGAUGCAACAUUAUUAGCACAAACAACAAACAGCAGAACGUCCCCAAAUAUCAAUAUAGAUAAAUUCUAAAAGGUGAUUAUCCACACUGUUUUAGAACAACUUUGAUUACAGAAAAACUAUAACGCCCAAGUCUAUUAUGCCACAAGUGAAAAGAAGUUUUUUCAUAUUUAAAAGAUGUGUAGUUAGCAGAAAAAACAGAGGAUCAGAGAUCAAGAAAGACAGAGAGAUCAUCUUUAAGUGUGCCUUGUAGAAGAAUCUGUUUAGUUACUUAGUCUUUAACAUAGCAAGAAUGAGGGUGAAAUUCAAAAAACACAUUGUUGUUACGAGCAAACUUUGAAACACUAAGCAAAUUCUUAGUAUAAUGAGAAACAUGUAAAAGAUCAAGGAGAGAGAAGGAAGUACAAGAGGUAGACGACACACAGGAAGCAGAACCAAUGUGGGAGAUUUUUAUACCUGCACCAUUACCAAGUUUAACGUUCGCAAUGCCAUGAUAGAUUUGUUGAUCAUUGAACAGAGUAUGGUCGUUUGUUAUAUGGUGAGAGACACCGCUAUCUGGGUACCAUAAUGGAUCUUCUAAAGAUGAUGGUGGACCAAGAAGAGAGUAAGAAGAGUCAUCACGUGGAGGUGGAGAGAAAUGAGAUGUGUUUGCAGAGGAGGAUGGUGGUGUAGUACGAUCAAACCAGUGCCAACAAUGAAGAGCAGUGUGUCCAAGUUUGGAGCAUAUUUGACAGCGAACAGGGUUGCGUUUCCAUGAUGAAGACGUAGUGGAGUUCCAAGAAGAGUAUUGGGAAGGUCGGGGUUUGCCGCGGUUGAACUGAUUCUAGUUAGAUGUGGGAUUGUAACCACGACCACCACAGGAGGAGUUGGAAAAGGGGAGGUGGAGAGAAAUGAGAUGUGUUUGCAGAGGAGGAUGGUGGUGUAGUACGAUCAAACCAGUGCCAACAACAAUGAAGAGCAGUGUGUCCAAGUUUGGAGCAUAUUUGAGAGCGAACAGGGUUGCGUUUCCAUGAUUACGACAGUAAUAAAUGUAUUAUAUUCUUCAGAUAGCCUUCAAGGAUGAUGUCAAUAUGAUCAGUGGAAACAGGGGCAUCAAUAGCGGCAAGCAUGUUGACGGCGUUCUUGAUAUCAUGGAGAUAGGAGGAGAUGGAUCUGUGAUGACCUGAUUUUGUUGUUGGUACCAUUAGAGACUUGGGGACUGUCAUCAGUGGUGGAAGAAGUGGUUCUUGAUGGAACACUAGUGUCGUCAAGAAAAUGACCCAGUUUGAGCCCGCAAAUGGAGGCAAGGACUUGAUGUUUCCAGAGAAGAUAGUUAUCUUCAUCUAGUUUAAGAGUGAUGGGUGUUGUGAACUGUUGAACGGAAGGCAUGACCAGAGGUAACGGGCAAGAAGAAGAUGCAAAAGAAGAUGAAGAGAUAUGAGUGCAGUGCAUUAGAAUAGAGAGAGAAAGGAGAAAGAUAUUAUCUUAGUAUAUGUGCUAAAGGUAUAUAAGGAGUGCAGAACUGGAAACACUUACAAAGUUGUCGUUACACAGUUAUAGUAUGGUUAACAAUGUAUAAUACAGAAAACAUGCUUGUGUACUUUAUUUUUAUCUUUGAAAGUUUAGAACACAGAGGAACAUAGAUAGCUAGAAAAACCUGAUCUCCUUCCCAGAGUUGUUCAAGAUGGCAGCCUGGCAUUUCCAGGGUCACAGUCUGGCAUUUCCAGGGUCACUAGAUUUUGUGGGCAAAAGUUUGGAGGCCAGAAUCUUUGAGGGAAACCGUUCCAAUAAAGAAACUUUAGAGUGUCUGGCAGACCUACAAGAGAUGAUUCAAGAGACACAUUUGAUAUGAAUAUAGGCAUGUAGACCAUAAGCAUCAUAAGAUUGUCCAUCUUUUCGAAACUUUGUGCAUGUACUACAGCAUCUUUUACUUUGUUCGUAUGUAGUAAUAUACACUGUAUUGCAUCUGACCCCUGAAAGUAAAUCAAUUUAAUUAGGAGAAAAAAAACAUGAAAUGUUGCAUUGCAGGAUGUUUAAUGACAUCUCAGUGGUUUGCAAUUUUUUACAAAGUAAAUCCAUUCUCAAUUGAGUAACGACAUAAUACCUUGUUCUUUCUUAAAACCUCUCAAAUUUCCUCAGCAUUAAACAAUCGGCUGCGUUUUCCAGGAUGCUGAGGACACUCUUUACGAACAAUUUCUUGACUCAUUUCUNNNNNNNNNNNNNNNNNNNNNNNNNNNNNNNNNNNNNNNNNNNNNNNNNNNNNNNNNNNNNNNNNNNNNNNNNNNNNNNNNNNNNNNNNNNNNNNNNNNNGAUCCAUCUUUUUCUGCUGCUACCAUGUCGAACUCCCUUCAAAUCAAUACAAUGUCUUCACCAUCAAUCAGCCAAGUGAUUAAUGUUAAACUCACACAAGAAAAUUAUUUAUUGUGGUCUGCUCAAAUCCUUCCCUAUUUACGUAGUCAGGGGCUGGUUGGGUUUGUGGAUGGAUCCAUGCCACCACCAAACCAAACGAUUACGGUUGAGUCAAGUGAAGAAACAGGGAGCCGCAAAAUCCUGAAUUCACAGUCUGGUACCCCCAGGACCAGCUGGUACUCAGUCUCAUCAACUCAUCGGUUACCGAGGAAGUUCUCAGCACGGUGGUCGGAAUCACCACUGCACGAGAAGCCUGGGAUAUGCUGGAGCGGCAAUUUGCCUCCACAUCUCGAGCACGAGCAAUGCAGAAUCAUAUGGAACUCUCCACGAUCCAAAAGAAGGACAUGACAAUUGCUGACUAUUUUCGUAAAGUAAAACGUCUCGGAGACACUCUGGCUGCCAUUGGCAAGCGAGUAGAGGAUGAAGAACUCAUCGCCUACAUGCUGCAAGGACUUGGUCUAGAUUAUGAUCCUCUUGUCACAAGCAUUACAACUAGAACAGAUGUUUACACUGUCAGCGAUGUGUAUGCUCAUAUGCUGAGCUACGAGAUGCGUCAUCUGCGUAAUGGUACUCUUGAGCAAUUUCCUUUUGCUAACAAUGUCAACAGCAUGUCUAAUCGAGGAGGAACUAAUGGACGUCGUGGUGGUCGUGGUCGUCAAUCAAAUGGUGGUCGAGGACAAACAUGGCACACUAGAAACAAUUCUGGACGUCAGCCAUCAAAGGCACAAAGUAACUCAGACAAAGUCUGUCAGAUUUGUGGUAAGCCAAACCAUGAUGCUUUGCAAUGUUGGCACAGAUUUGAUCAGGCAUAUUAAGCCGAAGACAAUCUUAAACAAGCAGUUGUGGCCACAAGUGGAUAUACUGGUGAUGCAAACUGGUACGUAGAUACUGGAGCCACAGAUCACAUCACCAACGAGUUAGAAAGACUUACCACCAACGAACAUUACAAUGGCACUGAUCAGAUUCAAGUUGCAAAUGGCUCAGGUUUUUCUAUCUCUCAUAUUGGGAACUCAUUAAUUUCUGGUUCAUCUAGAUCUCUUGUACUGAAACAUAUCCUAUAUGCUCCUAAAAUCAAUAAACAUCUGAUUUCAGUACAAAGACUAGCAUCUGAUAAUAAUGCCUUUGUGGAAUUUCACCCACACUGUUUUUUUGUUAAGGACCGAGCCACGAAGGAACUUCUGCUCACAAGUAGAUGUAAGAAUGGCCUCUACACUUUACCAAAUAACUCCAGCAAAGCAUUCCCGACAGCCAAACUUUCGAAAGAACAAUGGCAUAGAAGACUUGGGCAUCCUGCUUUCCCAGUCACAAUUAGAAUCUUGAAAAAUAAUAACUUAGCUCUAGAUACUAGAGUUUCUUCUUCCUUAAUUUGCCAUGCUUGUCAACUAGAAAAGCACAUCAAUUACCCUUUGUUUCUUCUCAACAUGUAUCUACAGCACCUCUUCAAUUGAUUCAUACUGAUGUAUGGGGUCCAGCCAUUGUCUUAGUGAAUAAUUCUAAAUAUUAUGUUUCAUUUGUUGAUGAUUUUAGCAGAUAUGUUUGGAUUUAUUUUUUGAAAUACAAGUCUGAUGUUGAGUCUGUGUUUCAUCAGUUUCAAAAACAUGUUGAAACCAUGCUAAACACCAAAAUUCGCUCUGUCCAGUCAGAUUGGGGGGGUGAAUACCAUCGUUUGCACCAAUAUUUCAAAACAACUGGAAUUGAGCAUCGUCUUUCUUGUCCUCACACACAUCAGCAAAAUGGGUUGGUAGAAAGAAAGCACAGACACAUUGUGGAAACUGGCCUUACUUUACUUGCCCAAGCUAACAUGCCUUUGUCCUAUUAGGAUGAAGCCUUCAAUACAGCUUGUUACCUUAUAAAUAGACUACCAUCUCGAAUCAUACAAGCAAGACACACCACUUCAUAAAUUAUUUGCAAAAAAUCCAGAUUACACCAUGCUUAAGGUGUUUGGCUGUGCUUGCUGGCCCAAUUUAAGGCCUUACAACACCAAGAAACUGAGUUUUCGAACCACUAAGUGUGUCUUCUUAGGCUAUAGUUCUUCUCAUAAGGGAUACAAGUGCUUAGAUAGAAGUACAAAACGAAUUUACAUCUCUAGAGAUGUAAUCUUUGAUGAAAAUGUGUUUCCUUUUGAAGAAUUAAAUUCUAAGUCAUCAAUCCAAACCAAAAAUUCACACCAGCCUGCUCUACUUCCAACCUUCGUUAAACCCGUUCCAUACACUGAAAAUGCUCUCACAAAUAUUGAACCAGUUGUUAAUGAUUCUCGUAUAAUUGAUGGUCAAUCUAAUGAUGUUGCUAAUAACAACUUGUCUGGUAUAAGCUUACAUCCUGCAGAUAAUACAAUAAGUCCAGAAAUUGUUGCAGAACAGGAAGCUGAGAACAGUCUGACCAAUUUCCAAGAACAGAUGUUCNNNNNNNNNNNNNNNNNNNNNNNNNNNNNNNNNNNNNNNNNNNNNNNNNNNNNNNNNNNNNNNNNNNNNNNNNNNNNNNNNNNNNNNNNNNNNNNNNNNNGAACAAGAUUGAAAAAUAACAUUGUCCAAGCAAAACAGUUCACUGAUGGUACUGUCAGAUAUUCAGAGACCUCAAGAAAGUUUACCGGUGCUGUCACUGUCAAAAAUCCGACCACAAUAAAUGUACUAAAAAAUGCUACUGAGACUGAUACAGUUACUGAACCUCAAAACCUGCAGGAAGCUCUACAAAGUCCAGGUUGGCAGGAAGCAAUGAAUAAUGAGCUCUCAGCAUUACAACACAAUGAGACUUGGGAUUUCGUUCCACCAAAACCUGGCAUAAAUCUCAUUGAUAGUCGAUGGGUGUAUAAAGUGAAAAGGAAAGCGGAUGAAUCAGUGGAGAGAUUGAAAGCAAGGUUGGUUGCUAAAGGGUUCAAGCAAAGAUUUGGCAUUGAUUACAUUGAUACCUUUAGCCCCGUGGUCAAGCCAUCAACAAUCAAAGUUAUUCUUUCACUAGCAGUAACCAAAGGCUGGAAUAUGAGACAAGUUGAUAUCCAAAAUGCAUUCUUGCAUGGAAUUUUGGAAGAGGAAGUGUACAUGCGACAACCAUCGGGAUUUCAAGACCCAUAUAAACCAAAGGAAUACAUAUGCAAACUCAAGAAAGCGCUUUAUGGCCUGAAACAGGCUCCAAAGGCUUGGCACUCAAGACUGACUGGAAAACUUAUGGAAUUAGGCUUUAGAGCUUCUGUAGCUGAUUCAUCUUUGUUUAUCCUCAAAAACAAAGAGGUAACCAUCUAUAUGCUCAUAUACGUUGAUGAUAUAAUUAUCGUGAGCUCCUCUGAUCAAGCCACCGAAAGGUUGAUUCAGAAGUUGAAAAUAGAUUUUGCUAUAAAAGACUUAGGUGGUCUUGAGUAUUUUCUGGGUAUUGAAGUCAAGAAGGCAAGAGAUGGCAUCACANNNNNNNNNNNNNNNNNNNNNNNNNNNNNNNNNNNNNNNNNNNNNNNNNNNNNNNNNNNNNNNNNNNNNNNNNNNNNNNNNNNNNNNNNNNNNNNNNNNNAAAUUAUUCAAAGAGCAGGGAACACUCUUGUCAAUUGAAGAACAAUUUAAAUACAGAAGUACUGUGGGAGCAUUGCAAUACUUGACAAUGACCAGGCCUGAUUUGGCAUUUGCUGUCAACAAGGUUUGCCAAUACCUUCAUACGCCUACUGAUGCUCAUUGGAGUGUUGUAAAGAGAAUCCUUCGUUAUGUCAAGGGCACAUUAGAUUUGGGAAUCAGAAUUCAGAAGUCUCCAACAAUGCUGCUGUCCGGAUUUUCUGAUGCUGAUUGGGCUGGUUGUCCUGAUGAUCGACGUUCAACUAGCGGCUUUGCUGUAUUUCUUGGAGCAAAUCUAAUUUCUUGGAGCUCUAGAAAACAAACCACAGUGUCCAGAUCGAGCACCGAAGCAGAAUACAAGGCCAUUGCGAAUCUGACAGCAGAAAUGAUUUGGAUAAAAUCAUUAUUGAAAGAGCUUGGUGUGUAUCAAUCAAAAGCUCCUCGACUCUGGUGUGACAAUCUAGGAGCUACAUACUUAACUUCAAAUCCAGUGUUUCAUGCAAGAACAAAACAUAUUGAAGUUGACUUCCAUUUUGUUCGAGAACAAGUGGCACGCAAAGCAAUGGAAGUUCAGUUUAUUUCAUCAAGUGAUCAAGUGGCUGAUAUCCUAACAAAACCACUGUCUAGAACUCUCUUUAUUACACAUUGUAACAAUCUCAACAUGUAUAAAACCUGUUGGGAUUGAAGGGGACUGUUAGAAUUAGUCAGUUAGAAGUGGAACACGUUUGUAGAAGUGGAACACGUUAGUUGGUUAGUUGCCUUAAGAAGCGGAUCAUGGAUCCAACCGUGUAUGCAAUCAGUUACCUUUCUUUAAUUAUAAAUACAAUACGUCCUCCACAUAGAGAGGUACAGUUAGCAAACUUUAUUAGAGCUGAAUCGGUAACAUCAUCAAGAAUGAGGAGAACCUUUGUCCGUUUGAGCCUUUCAUUGUAAUAUGGUGAAGAAGAGGAUUUCUCUUCCUUUAGAAGCUCAGACUGAUAUUUUGUUCUGAUACUGUCUAUUCCAUCUCUUUGUAUUUUUUCUUGAACGUCUAAAACAAGGCUGCUGGAAUCAAACUGCAAUGCCAAUUUGUGAUAUAUUUGAUUACAAAUUGUAGUUUUUCCUAUUCCUCCCAUGCCACAAAUUCCUAUGAUCCGAACAUCCGGUGACUCAAGAUGCAACAAGGACUGAAUUCCUUCAAUAUGUUUUUCAAUGCCGAUGAUUCCUUGAUCAUAACUGAUGGAAUAACGAUUCAAUUUUUUCAACAAGUGUGUGUUCUGUGCUGGCAGAUGAUUUAGAAAAUAAUGUAUAAGUAUUCAAGCACAAAAGCUAAACUAAAGAAAAAUUCUACAGCAUCCGUUUGUGACUUCUGAUACUAGGGAGAAGACUUGUAGGUACAAAGUUAAGCUAUAACAUGUAAUAUGGUUCAGAUCUAAGACCGACUAAUAGAAAUGAAAAAAGAAGCACUUGAUUUAGGGUGAGAUGAACACAAUUUUAGUAAAUGAAAAGAGAUCCUGAUUAUCUGGAAAGUGCGUGACCUGGUGACUUUUGAAUCCCAGCCUGCAAGUUCAGCAGCUUCGGUGAGAGCAUCCUUCCAUCCUUGCACUUUAUCGUGCUUAAAGUGCUGCUCAUGCUUUUCGAAUGCUUCUUUGUAUCUUUGUUCCUGCUUCCUAAUAGUUGAUGGAUCCACCUUGUAGAAAACAGGUAUGACAUCCCUUCCAAAUCUCUUCUUGCAUUCAAGUAUCUUAGUGAGUUCAUUCAAGCACCAAGUGGAAGAUGCAUAGUCUUGGGAGAAAACGAUGACAUAAAUCUUUGAAAAAUAAGUAUGAAAUCUAGAUAUAUAUCAUUAUCACGUGUGGAAGCUACGUCGUCUUGUAUUGGAUUUUCUAAUCUGCCUUUUAUCUUGUCUCAUUCUUCUUUAUCUUUUUUCUCUCAUCUCUCUUGCUUACGAUUUCUUUGCCUUUAUUCAGAAAUUUUAGUUAUAAUAAACCUUCAAUAAUAUUUGUACUUUCUAGCAUAUAGAAUACUUAAUGGAUCCUUUUCUGAUUUUUCUUUUCUAAAGUUCAAUUGAUUUUUUAAAUGUUUUUCUAUUUAAUUUUCCUUUCUUAAUGACACAUAAAAUGGUUCAGUGCACAAUUAAUUAUUCUCACCUUAGAUUUCAUUCAUCUCAUUCCAUUUCCACACUCAAAUCAUUCUCACAUUUGUUUCUACCUGUUUCACAAAGUUUUAGUUAAAAUAUGGAAAUUAAUGUUCAAGAACCCUACUUAAUAUUAAUAUUCAACAAUUUAAAAUAUUAAAAUGCAAAUUAAUCUUUCUUAAUAAUGUCAUUUUUAUGUAAAAAAUAAAAUGUAGUUUAGUCAUUUAUACUUAGAUGGAUAAAGAUGAUUUUAGAAAAAAAAAAUGCAUUUUAUUUCAAAGGUUAACUAAACUCUGAACUCAUUUAUGAAUUAAUAAUAAUAAAUAAUAUGUAAUUGUAUUCCAAUACCAUAUAAAUUUUUUUUAUUGGGUGCGUUUCUGAUGAAUUAAUGCACUCUAGGGACAAUGAUCGCUCUAGUAUUUGAUUUUUUAUUUAUUUUAAUGUUAAAAUUAUAGCUAUGUAGUACAGAUAUUACUGACACAGACAGACACGAACACGGACACAGAAAUACAUAAAAUCUCUAAAAUGUAGAAUACGGAGACAUUAAUCUAUAUAUUAUAUAAUUAUGAAUCAUAUAAAUUAACAAUAAAGAUUUAUGUGCACAAGUAUUUUUGAGAUUAUUUUUUAGAACAGAAAUAUGUUUUUCAUGACUAGUUCACAAAUAUUUGUUUCUUAUUCUUAUAAUCAUAAUAACAAUUUAUACCAUAAAGUUUCAAUUUUAGAAAAUUAAUGUAUUUUUUCUUUUUAAAAUUUCGUUAGAACUGUACUAGAAUUGUAAAAAAUCUAACAAAUACAUUUUGAAUUGGACAUUCCACGAAUACGUGUCCUACCAGUAUUUUGAACAACAUUCUUUCUUUUGGAACAAAGAGGGCAUAUGCCGCAGUCUUUUACUGUGAUAACUCAUUUCAACUCUCACACAACUGAUUCGUAAUCUGUGGGAUGCAUUAAAGCCUUUUGCAGUUAAAUCAAUAGUAUAUGAUGAUGUGAAUGUUAUUUAUAUACUAAAUAUAAUCACAUAGUAACUUCAAAUUUGAUAAGGUACAACAUGUUACCAUAUCUCUUUUAAUUUAUUUUAUUUCAUUAUAUAUUUAGGUGUAUUUAAUUUCUUUUAUUUCAUUGUGUAUUUAGGUGUAUUACGUAAAAUAUAUAAUUAAAAAGAAAGAAGAAUAAUGUUAUUUUGAAAUUUAAAGAAGACAUAUAGAAAUAAACAAGCUUUUGCUAAGAUUCCACCAUUGAAAAGGAACAUAGAACAAUCUUGACAAUUAUACUUUGACUUAUUUUAAUUUCUUAUAUUUAUGAGUAUUAUUUUUUCUUAAACAUAGAUAUUGGAUAAAAAAUACAAAUAACAUUUCUUUAUUUCAAAUUUAAAAAUAUUUUAAAUUAAAAUAAAAUAAUUUUUUAAUUAAGAUAUAACAAAAUAUUCUUUAACAAAUUAUUUUAAUUUCAAAAUAAUUAAUUCAGAGGACGAUUGAAAAAAUAUUAAAUAUUAUAAUAAAGCUUCAAUAAUAUUUGUACUUUCUAGCAUAUAGAAUACUUAAUGGAUCCUUUUAUGAAUUUUCUUUUCUAAAGUACAAUUGAUUUUUUAAAUGUUUUUCUAUUUAAUUUUUCUUUCUUGACACAAAAUGUUCAGUGCACAAUUAAUUACUCACCUUAGAUUUCGUUCUUCUCUUUCCAUUUCCACACUCAAAUCAUUUUCACCUUUUUUUUCUUCUUAUUUCACAAAACUUUAAUUAAAAUAUGGAAAAUAAAGUUCAAGAACCCUGCUUAUAUAUUAAUAUUCAAAAAUUUAAAAUAUUAAUAUGCAAAUGAAUAUUUCUUAAUAAUUUUAUUUUGAUGUAAAAAAUAAAAUGUAGUUUAGUCAUUCAUACUUAGAUGGAUAAAGAUGGUUUUAGAAAAAAAAAAAGAAUAUGCAUUUUAUUUGAAAGGUUAUCUAAACUCUGAACUCACUGAUGAAUUAAUAAUAAUAAAUAAUAUGGAAUUCUAUUCCAAUACCAUAUAGGAUGGAGAAAAGUAAGAAGAGGAUUUACACAUUACCCUUUCAAAUGGAGCUCCUCAGGAUUUCAUAAUGCCUUCACUGCAAAUGCAACCCAAAUAUGCUAAAAAAGUUAAUGAAACUAUAUAUGAAGAGUUAAUGAAACUAAAUGGCGUGUGCUGAAAUUUUUGAUCCGAUAACCAUGCCCACAUUCAAAAAGUGAAAGGUUACUUUGCUUUAUAUUCCUUUGGGUGGUGCUACUUUUCAACUUGACAACAAAUUCCCAUUAUUGUGUGGUUAUCAAUUACCAUUUAACUUAUUCUCAUACCACAUUCACUAUAUAAUAGUCCAUCAUAAACCCCAAAAUUUGCACAUUUUCUAUUUGCAAGACAUCCAACAGACAAAGAAAACAUGUGAAACUGUGUAAUAAUGUGAGAACGUAAGAACUUACUUCAUCAUGAAAUCAAGCCAUGCCUGAGGGUUUUUUCUGAGAGCAUUCACCACAGGUGCAUAUUCAUGUGGCUGUAUCCCAUACUCAGCUAGUAUUUCUGCUACCUCUGCCGCUUCUUUUUUUGUCAAAAAACACAUAUUCAUUAUUAAUGUGCAAUCAAAUGGUAACGAAACUAUGUAGUACAAACACACACUGAUACGACACUAGGACGAACAUACGUAUAAUGUUACUCCUUCUAUGGAAAUGAAGGAUAUUCAGCAAUAACUUUUAAAACUCAUUACAUAGAAAUUUGCAUCAAGUUAUCAAAGUCUAUAGGAAUGAAUUUUCAAUUCAUGGAAACACAGAUAACAAAAAGUAAUAGAAAAAUAGAAAAAAAGUUGUCAAAUGAUUCUAUAAAAAAUUAACCUAUCAUGAAAAUCAAGAUGAUAGAAAAUAAAAUAAUGUGGCAUGAACAUCAAAAUCGUAUAAAAGCAUAAUAGAAGAACAGUGGAUACCAGUUUCUGGCACGGCGAUGAUUUCUUCUUGCUCUCUUUUCAAUUCCCUCGAGUAAUUAUCGGCUUCACUUUUUGCUGCCAAAUAACUGCACAAUGAAAAUUAACAUGAAAUAAUAACGGAAUUUAAAUUGAGUUUUGUGAGUGUGAAGAGUGUGGUUGAACGUACCCGCCGAGGCCCAUGGAGAUGGCGCCGGCGGCGACUUCCGCUAUGCCAGCGGUGAGAACGAUGGAGGAGGUGACAUUGGCGCCGGAGAGGCCGGCGGCGAGGGCGAAGGGGACGGUGAGGCCGUCGGAAACGCCGAUGAUGAUGUCGCGGACUAUUUCGCCGGCGGUGAAGUGCUUCUCGGUGUGGUGGUUGAGAAGGUUCGUUCUCUCAGAAUCCACGCUUAUGCCGUGUUCGGUGGCGGCCAUUGGUGCAAGCUUGUGAAUGUGUUUGAGUUCGCCAACGUGCUCUGGGAAUCCAAACAAAGCCUUGCUGCUUUGCACAUAAAUUGAGCCUCUUUUGUGCUCAACUUACUCCUAAAUAGAACAAAAAUAUCUAACCGUUGAUGAUAUCCACGUGGAAAAUUAUCAAUGGAUAUCAAUAUCACAUUAUUUCUACACUAAUAUUUUAAUUAUUUUUAAAUAUUAUAACUAAAUCAAUCAAUAUAAUACCAAAUCUUCUUAAUUCUUUGGAUUAUAUAUAUUUUAUUUUAUUUUAUUUAUAAAGGAAGUUGUGAUAAAUGUUGUGUUUUGUGUGCACAUUAAUAAAAAUCAAAUAACCAAAAAAUAAUAAUCUUGUGAAAGAAAAAAUGGUAGAAUUUAUACUAUUCUACAAAAUUUUAAAAGUGGCUAAUGUGUUUUACUCAACUAUGUAAAUAAUUUUGGACUCUCUUGUUAAGGAAAUAAUGAAAUACAUUAAAUUUUGUUUUAUACUCUUACUUUAAGUUUUUUUGUGUUUCUCCUGACUUAAUUAAAUAUCAGAGAGUCGUCUUUUGCAGGUAGAUUUCAUUCUAUCAUAAUAUACCAACUGAAAACUUGUUUUCUGAAAAACACACGGCUCUCACCGAAUUGCACUUUCCAAUUUUUUUUAAUAGAAAUAAUAAUAAUUAAGUAUUUGUGUUCUUAUAUUUAAUUUUUAAUAAAAAAAUUAUUCUUAUGUACUUCUAAAUUGAUAUAUUUUACCAAUGUCUAUUAACAAUGGGAAGAAGUUUAUACCUAACAAAACUAUUUAACAUGAUUUGUUUGUAAAUUAUAGAAGUAUGUGUAGAAAGAUAUAAAAUUAAUGUUUUAAGAGAAAUUUAAGCAACUUUCAUAAUAUAUUGUAGAUUAUUAGUUGAAUUUAUGGAAAUUAAAAAUAAAUUGUAGGUCACCACACUUCCACUUUUUUUUAAUGAUAUCAAAUCACAACUUUACAAUUUUCACUAAUUUUUAACCAAUAACAAAAGAACAUCUUAGAAGAAGUGUGUUUAAGAAUUUGAUGUUAACUCUCAUUGUUUUUUAAACUUAAAUCCAGCUUUAUUCUUCAACUUUUAAUUUUUAUACAUAUUUAAUUGUAUAUAUAGUUUUUAACUCUCUAAAAUCAAACAAUUUUAAUUCAUUAAAUAGGCAAUGUCAUGAGUGUUAAACUUUUAACAUUUUUCUAGUAAUUAAAUUACUUAUGAAGAUUCAACUAAUUCAAAAUUUAAUAUUUUUACAAUUUUUAUUAUAAUAUUCUUAAAAUAUAUUUUAAUAUUUUGUUUUUCAUGUUUGAAAUAUAAAUGUUUUAAAAAAUCAUUUUAAAUUAUUUUGUUUCUCAUCUUAUGUAAUAAAUUACUAUAAUAAUUACUAAAACAUUUAAUACCUAUACAUUUUUAAUGAGCAAAAACUAAUAAUGAAUUAUAACAAAUAAAAAACGUUUCUGGGCAACAAAAUAGUAAUUAAUAUGAAUUAUAACAAAUAAUGAACGUUUUGUGGUAAUUUGUUUCACUUUCAAAUAAGUUAGUACUUCGCCUGUUAUUUCAUAACGGUAGUUUUUUUAAAUAUAUUAAGAAAAAUGUUUAUUUUUUUAUUUUUAAUGCACUUUUAAGUAACUUGCCUAUUAUAUUAUAUUAUAUGGGUAUUAUAUAUAUAUAGGUAAGCACCAAAAAAUAAAUUUAAGGUAAAAGUGAUAUAAUUAAAAUAAAAUAAAUUAUUAUUAAAUAGAAAAUAUAUAUAAUUAAAAAAAUCAGUUAUUUAAGUUUUAUUUUAAAAUAAUUUUUGUAAAAAAAUUUUCUUUUUUUCCUUGUUCACGAUUUUAAAUUUUAUAUUCACUUGGUAGACAUGUUUUGCAUGUGGUGUUUGGGACUUAAAAGAAUAAUAUAUGUUAGUUCAAGAUCCUAAUGAUGUGUUUUUAAGAAGUUGGACUAUCUUUGUUUUUUUAAGAAGUUGAAGUCUUUUUAUGAAUACUUAUCUUUUUAAACAGGUAAGAUAAACUAGUUUUAUCUGUAAAACUUAAGUUAGAAUAUCUGAAUAUGAAAUGUGAUUCUUCAUAUGAUUAUGAUUGAAUGAUUCAAAAUUCAAGUAUAAAGUUUUAAGAAUCAUUAACUUAUGUUUUUUUUUUUGUGCUAUUUUUUUGAUUUUUUGCAAUGAUUGUGUGUUGCAUGUGAGCAAAUGAUGUUACAAGUUGUAAACCUAAAAAAAAAUCAUGAAAUUUUGUCUUUUUUAUUCUUUUGAUAUUUUAUCUUAAUGAUAUAUAUAUAUAUAUAUAUAUAUAUAUAUAUAUUUAAAAAUCUCUAUAUGAAAGGAUAGUAUUUUAUGAUAUAAUAAUAUGAUAAUGUAAAUGUUAUUUAUAUAAUAAAUAUCAUGAGAUAAUUUAAAUUUUGAUAAGAUAAAUGAAGAUGUUACAAUAUCUCUUUUAAUUUUUUUUUAUUUCAUUAUAUAUUUAGGCGUAUUUAAUUUCUUUUAUUUCAUUGUAUAUUUAGGUGUAUUACGUAAAAUAUAUAAUUAAAAAGAAAAAAUAAUGUUAUUUUGAAAUUUAAAGAAUGACGUAUAGAAAGAAACAAGCUUUUGUUAAAAUUCCACCAUUGAAAAGGAACAUAGAACAACACUCUUGACAAUUAUACUUUGACUUAGAUACUUAUUUUAAUUUAUUAUAUUCAUGAGUAUUAUUUUUUCUUAAACAUAGAUAUUGGAUAAAAAUUAAUAAAAUUUAUUUAUUUCAAAUUUAAAAAUAUUUAAAAUUAAAAUAAAAUAAUAUUUUUAAUUAAGAUAUAAAAAAAUAUUCUUUACAAAUUUUUUUAAUUUCAAAAUAAUUAAUUCAGAGGAUGAUUGAAAAAAUAUUAACAAUCUAUUUAUGCGUUUAUAGUAAACCUUCAAUAAUAUUUGUACUUUCUAGCAUAUAGAAUACUUACUGGAUUUCUUACUCUUUCUUUCUACACCUCUAUCCAUACUAAAUAUAAAAAUACCAUUUUAUUCUUUUUUCUCCACCCCUUGAAUUUGAAAUAAUAAGCCCAUGGAUUAUGUAAUCUGGAUAUAUUCCGGAUUAGUCAAUUUCAUAUUUAGAAAAGACUUUCGGAUUAUGUAAUCCAGAAGCUAAUAAAACAUCUGAAAAAAAGGCUUCCGGAUUACAUAAUCCGGAAGCUAAUCUUAUGUAUAGAAAAGACUUUCGCAUUAUGUAUUCCGGAAGCUAAUCACAAAAGACUUCUGGAUUACAUAAUCCAAACGCUAAUUCUAAAUCUAGAAAAAAGACUUCCGGAUUAUGUAAUCCGGAAUAUUAAAAAAGAUAUUUUUGAAAUACGAAAAAUUUAUGGGGGUGACACAAGAAGGUAUGGAGGUGCAGGAAGAAACAGCCUGGAUUCCUUUUGUGAUUUUUCUUUUCUAAAGUACAAUUGAUAUUUUAAAUGUUUUUCUAUUUAAUUUGUCUUUCUUAAAUGACACAUAAAAUGUUCAGUGCACAAUUAACUACUCACCUUAGAUUUCGUUCUUCUUUUUCCACUUCCACACUAAAAUCAUUUUCACAUUUUUUUUACCUAUUUCACAAAAAUUUAAUUCAAAAAUGGAAAUUAAAGUUCAAGAACCCUACUUAUAUAUUAACAUUCAACAAUUUAAAAUAUUAAUAUUCAAAUUAAUCUUUCUUAAUGUUAUGAAAAAUUUAAAAUGUAGUUUAGUCAUUCUUGGAUGGAAAAAGAUGGUUUUAGAAGAAAAAAAUGCAUUUUAUUUGAAAGGUUAUCUAAACUCUAAACUCAUUGAUGAAUUAAUAAUAAUAAAUAAUAUGGAAUUCUAUUGGAAUAGCAUAUAAAUGUUUUGUUGUUGAAACUGAUAAUUGGGUGCGUUUCUGAUGAAAUUAAUUAAUGCAGUCUAGGGACAAUUAUCGCUCUAGUAUUUCAUUUUUUUAUUUUUAACGUUGAAAUUAUAAUUAUACAAUUCCGUUUUUAGAUAUUAAAAUGAUAGUUUUCAUUUACAGAUUAAAAUAUUACUUGUUUCUUUUAAGAUUUUUUUGGUAUUAUAAUUAUUUGUUAGCUGAAUUGUUUUGCGUUAACAUGUUGUUUUCUUGGGCUAUGAUGUAAGCAAUAUAAAUGUUAUUUUUAAUGUAAGCAAUAAAAAUUAUGAGUAUUCAAAGUCGUGUAAUUACUUAAAAGAAUCAAGUGAUUUUUAAAAGAACUCACACGAUCAGUUUUAAUUUUGACGAUAAAAUAUAUUAGUUAUAUAUAUUUAUUCAAAAUUUCAAUUAUACUAUGCAUUUAUGGUUUUAUGCUUUUAGAGGAAUCAGUAACUUAGAAAAGCUCCCAAAAACUAAUGAAAUCCCAUGAAUGAAGAAGGAGAACAAAUGGAAGUGAAAAAUCAGUAAGAUGAUAAUUAAUAAACACCCUCUCUUAAUAACAUAACAUAGGAGUCUUUAAACUUAUAUUCUUCAAACAAUUAUAAGCUGUCUUCAACUUUACUGUUAAACUACAAUUAUAAAGAAUUAACAAUCUCACACACCAACAACAUUUAUAAGUCAUCACUCACAUGCAACAAGGUGUGCCUCAAUGUGAAAAAACCAAGAUCAAUAAGAAAUGAGGUUCCACUUAACCAAGCUGAGAAUUGUCUGGUUUUCCAGCUCCAUGCACAAACCUAAUACAAUGAUAUGAUAUUCAAUACCAAGAGGUACCUUGUCGUAAAACUGAGAAUAUGAGGUUGCAUAGGAUGGAGAAAAGUAAGAAGAGGAUUUACCAAUUACCCUUUCAAAUGCAGCUCCUCAAGAUUUCAUAAUCCCUUCACUGCAAAUGCAACCCAAAUAUGUUAAAGAAGUUAAUGAAACCGAAAUAUGAAGAGUUUCAAAAUAAAAAUUUAACAUGUUGAAACUUGUAAUUUAGAAGUAUUGACUAUAAGGCAGUUUAGAUCCUGACCAAUGAAAGACUAAUAAGCAGAAGAGGAAGAGACUAGUUGACUGGCUAGCUUUCGGCCUUCCACUUCCUAUCUUCCCUUGUUUCUCUUGAAGACUGUGCAACAUUGCUUCCACUGGAUUCUUCAAUCUCAACAGCACCACCAUAUUCAUCAUCUUUCUUUUUCGUAUAAAGAGGGCAUAUGCCGCAUUCUUUUAUUGUGAUAACUGAUUUCAACUCUCUCACAACUGAUUCGUAAUCUGGCCACCCAAAGUCAUAAUCACACGGACUGAUCUCAAAAGUGAAGCUGCGAGCAUCACAUAGCCUGAGGCUCAUGCCGCUCGCCCUUAGGGACUCCAAGUUAAAUUUCCACACGAAUGUGUGAUCUUUAUCAACACAUCUCUCUUCACCAUUCCAUUUGAAAUAGCUGUUUAACACAUCAUUAUUUGGAAUGAUCUGUGUGCCAUCAUCAUCAGAUUCAAAUGUUAGGCUGUAACUAAAAGAACCAUAUCUACCAUUCAUAGCAUACGUAUCUAACACUCCAAAAACCACACUCAAAGCGAAACCAGUGAGCCUAUCAUCGCUGCAGAAACUUAAAUCUUCAUUUAUAGUCACUGAAUGUCCCUUCCCACGAAAAUUGAACCAACCAGGAACUGCACUCCCUGGAAAACAGAAGAACACACACCUAUAUGCAUCGUCGGUCAUCCUAAGCCUUGCAUCCUCCUCAAUGUUAGCACGACCACCUGAAUCCAGUUGUUGAGCAUUGGUGAAAUGAAAUUUAAAUACACCCUCUUCGGAAUUUGAGAGGUUUCGAACAAGAGAAUUUGGCAUCACUCUUCUAAUGGAUGGGCAAUCCAAUGCCACGAGUUGUUUCAGAAAUGGUGGAAUCUGUGGGAUGCAUUCAAGCUUUUUGCAGUCGCUUAAAUCAAGCGAUUUCAAACUUGAAAGAUGAGCAAUGCUCCCAGGAAGGUUCACGAUUCCGCUAUUACGCAGUGAAAGUUUCAUUAAUGACGUCAAACGACCAAUGUGUCUAGGGAUUUCUGUUAAUUUGGGGCACCCCGAACAAUCAAGUUUAGAGAGAAGCUUCAGAUUAACAAUGCAGUUUGGAAGUGAGUCGAGAUCAGUGCAUUUGUGGAGCUCCAGGGAUCGAAGAUUAACCAAAUUGCCAAAUGAGGAAGGCAAUUCUUUAACAGCCGUAGAUGUUAAGUUAAUGUGAGCAAAAGUAUGAGCCGGCUCCGUGAUCUCUGGGAAGGACCUCAGCCUUGAGCAACCACCUAAAUCAAACUUCCUCAAUUUCAAAUUGAAAAUGGUGCUUGGAAAAGUUUGAAGUGAAUUACAGUGGGUAAGGUCUAACUUGCAUAGUCUGGUGAGGGUUCCAAUGGAAGAUGGAAUAAUCUGAAGAUUGAAGCAACUGCGCAAACUCAGUUGUUGAAGCCCUACCAAACGGCACAAGGAUGAAGGUAGUGCCUGUAUGGCUGUGUCGUCUAAGAUGAGCACCGCUAGAUCUUCCAACGUGUCCUGAAUCUGGGGUAAAUAUUCCAAUUUUGAGCAACCACGGAGAGAAAGUUGCUUUAGGAAUUUCAUAUCAGAAAGGUCAAACGGAAAGAUUGUAAGGGAAGAACAGUCAGAGAGAUCUAAGUAACAGAGGUUCUUGAGACUUUGAAAGUUCAAGGGCACACCUCCUCUGAGAUUUGCCGACACUUCAAAUUGUAAGUAUAGAGUAUUAUUAGCCACUUCUUCAUUAUAUCUGUCAAAAGUAAUUGAGAAAAUUUCACUGGAACUUCGGAAAAUAUGAACACCGGAUGCACAUUGCGCUUCAACUAUCAUAUUUCCACGUUUAUGCCGCAGUUUCAUAUGAGGGAAUCUGGGUUCACUGGUUGAAAACAUAUUAAGCUUCCGACAACAGGAAAGAAUAAUCAAUCCUGGUAAUGUGGAUAAAAUGUUGUUGGGAAUAUUUACACUAUUCAGAUCAUAACAAUGAUCUAAACAUAAACAACUGAGCUUGCUGAGGAAUAUCGAAGAGUGAACUUCAAUCAACUUUGAACAAUAACUCAGCUUUAUUUCUUCAAUAUUUGGUGACGUAGAAAGGUCUGGUAUUCUAGUAAGGUUCGAAGAAUGACUCAGGUUGAGCCUUUUCAACUUGGGUAAAUUCUGCCACAAAAUGUAAAUGAAUCAGGUAACACAAAAACUAAAUUAAAGUUUUAGGCAAUUUUAUCUAUUUUUCUUCGGUAAACAAUAGAUGACAAUGUCGAAAUACUUUAUAUUAUGCAUGUAUCAACUGACAAAAUAAAACGAUGUUUUCUGAGAGUUAAAAUUAAACCUUAUUUAAAAUAAGUCCAUCUUUCCAUAUUUUAUAAUUUGUUGUAUAUUAUAUUGAAGUUUAUGUUAUAAUAAAAAAAAUGACUUAAUUAAUCAAAUAAUGUGGAGAAGGCACAAAGGAAUUGCAAAUGAAAACUUGUAUAUGUAUAAUACAGAAAACAUGCUUGUAUAAUUUAUUUUUAUCUUUGAAAGUUUAGAACACAAAGGAACAUAGAUAGCUUGAAAAACCUG
Molecule: long non-coding RNA, 65956 nt
Filed under: Phaseolus vulgaris (common bean)
Lineage: Eukaryota; Viridiplantae; Streptophyta; Magnoliopsida; Fabales; Fabaceae
Description: long non-coding RNA (PVUL_LNC004765)
Rfam family: Small nucleolar RNA Z247 (bases 49951-50089)
Source: RNAcentral